Molecule: long non-coding RNA, 67211 nt
Filed under: Podarcis lilfordi (Lilford's wall lizard)
Lineage: Eukaryota; Metazoa; Chordata; Lepidosauria; Squamata; Lacertidae
Source: RNAcentral
AUCUCAGCAUUGACACUAAGAGCAAAAUAUUUUUGUUUGUGCAAGUGUAGGUGGGCUCACUCACACAUGUGCACUUGAUUUAUGAUUAUCAUCGCCUUGCGGAGUGCUACAGCUCACUUGCGAAAAGAAAAGAAAAAGGACAAUUUAUAUCCCUUCAGGGUUUGUUUGGGGGUUUUUUACACCUAAAGGGUCUUUAGAUUUGCUUUGAAUCAGCAUCUGAAAAGCACAGGGUCAGCUAGGCUCCAUUCAUUGCUCUGAAAAGGGGAGAAAUGGCAGCAGGACGACCCUGACGCUCCUCACUGCAAAAUGACAUCUGAUACUUGAAACGCAGAAAUAAUUUAAGGAGGGUUUUUUUCAAAAAACCAAGUGAUUCCACCUUUUGAAUGGCUGUCGUUCCUUGGAUAAGUGGAAACAUCUUCUGGCUUGCAGCGUAGCAUGAAAGUAAGUUGUCUUCCAUUUGCAAACAACUUCUAUGCACAAAAUACUUUUAAUAUAAAUGAUCAAGGCUGCAAUCCUGUGGACAGGUCAUUUCUCAUAAGGCCUGUUUCUGCAUUAACUCUAUGGCAUCUUUUGGAGGGGUUUAUUUGCCUGUGGUGUAAUUUAAAUGUGUGUUUUUGAAUGUAUUUUCACUCCAAAUAUUUCUAUAAGUUUCUAAGUGUAUUCACUCUCACAGUAUUUCAAAAUGUGGUGUUUUUUAAAAAAAAAUGCAUUUCUAAAUGUAUUCGGCCUCAAAAGACCCAUUUUAAAACGCAUUUUGAUGCCUCUUUGGGGGCUAGGCCUGCCUUAUACUAUUAGGAGAGCAAUUCCAUGAGGUGUGUGUAAGUUGGCUCAUAUCAGAAUUCACAAAUCCUGAAUUCCUCAAACAUCCAUUGUGCCCUGUAUGCCAUUGAAAGUGCCCCAAAAACCUUUGCAGGUGCUCAAAGAGCUUCUGUCACACAUGCAGGUGUUCCUAGACAGACGAAUCAAUAUGGAGUAGGUACCUGACGGCAGCCGCUGUCACCUCAGGUAAAACAGGUUUUGCCAGCUUCUGAAGUGAUACAAAAACUUUCACUCCCCCUUGCUUACCAGAAACAAAAUUGGAAUGACUGUACACACCUCCAGCAGCAACCUUUUCUUCAAAAUACCUGCUCAGCGAUCGUCUGUCUGUCUCCAGCCUAGCAGAGUUUCGCAAGUAUUGGCCCAGGAUAUAAACAAUAAUAAUAGUAGUUAAAAAAAAAACCACCAAAAAACCCUUCGCUUUCACAGCCGUUUGGUGCUUUGCUCUCAUCUAAGAAGCUGCCAAUUUCUCUUCACCUCAGAAACCUUUGCAAUUUCAAGGCUGAGACCUCAGCCGUAUAAGUUAAGUUAUAUGCGCUGUAGGAAAAAAGCCUUUCUUGUCAGAAAUAAUAGCCAGGCUUAAGCUACUGCCUUGAAUGUCUCCCACCACAACAUUAAUUAUUGACAAAUAGCCUAAGCCAAAGAAUUUCACUUCUUAGGACUGGCCACAAUUUGACCGCUGUGCCAGCAGCACAGGGACAGAGAAGCAACCCUUUCAGGUCUAGCAUGCACAGCUUAUGACCUACAAAGCUGAAUUUGGGCCACCAUAUAUGGCAGCCCACCAAGGACUUGAUUUUUAAAAAAUUGAAAACUUCCUGUUCCUGCUGCUUGCUGGGAGCUGCCAAAGUGGGACUGUUGCUAAGCAUCUAAUAGGUUGCUGGACUUUCUCCUUACCAGUUUGGCUAGCCAAACUGCACCCUCCACAGAGCAGACACAUGAAGGAUUUUCCUUGGGAGUGGCAAGGACUAAAGUAGAGAGCUAGAUACCACCAGAUGAGAAAGCACUGGUUGUUUUCCAAGUGCACAGCCUUUUAUUUCAAGAGAGCAUACUUUGUUAGUGGGAUAAAGGGGACUCUAAGGAGGUCGGGUGGCACUGUGGGUUAAACCACAGAGCCUAGGACUUGCCUGUUAGAAGGUCGGCGGUUCGAAUCCCCGUGAAAGCACGUCAAAGUGCAAGUAGAUAAAUAGGAACCGCUCCGGCGGGAAGGUAAAUGGCAUUUCCGUGUGCUGCUCUGGUUCGCCAGAAGUGGCUUAGUCAUGCUGGCCACAUGACCCGGAAGCUGUCUGUGGACAAACGCCGGCUCCCUCAGCCUAUAGAGCGAGAUGAGUGCGCAACCCCAGAGUCGGUCACAACUGGACCUAAUGGUCAGGGGCCCCUUUACCUUUACCUUUAAGGAGGUCAGAAAGAAGCUCAUUCUUUGCCAAUGACCACAUUCUCCCAUAAAUCCUUCCCUUAGGAAGCAGACUGAAUCUCACGUCCAAUACCAAAAGCUUAGUCUCUCCGGAAUCCCAUGAAAGACGCACUCCUAAGUCAACCCUAAAGGGACUGGGAUGCACUGAGAUGGGAUGCCAAUCAUGAGAUACUGAAAAGGGUAGACCUUGCAUCUAGUAUUGGCCACCGAAGCUUCCCUGUAAUGUUUUAUUGAGAAAACAUGUUAAACAUGAAACUCCACAGCAGGUCUCUAAUAGAAGCAGAGUCUUGUGCAGUUCAGGAGCACUGCCACUGCUUCCCUAGGCUUCUGAGAUUUCAUCAAGCACCAAAUCUCCACAGCCAUGAUGCUCACUGGGUGACUUUGGGCCAUUCAUUCAUUCUCAGCCUACCCCACAGGGUAAUAAUAAUAAUAAUAAUAAUAAUAAUAAUAAUAAUUUAUUAUUUGUACCCCGCCCAUCUGGCUGGGUUUCCCCAGCCACUCUGGGUGGCUUCCACAAAGACCAAAAAUACACUAAGAUGUCACACAUUAAAAACUUCCCUGAACAGGUCUGGCUUAAGACGUCUCCUGAAUGUCAGGUAGUGGUUUAUCUCUUUGACAUCUGAUAGGAGGGCGUUCCACAGGGUGGGCGCCACUACCGAGAAGGCCCUCUGCCUGGUUCCCUGUAGCUUUACUUCUCGCAAUGAGGGAACCACCAGAAGGCCCUCCGCGCUGGACCUCAGUGUCCGGGCAGAAUGAUGGGGGUGGAGACGCUCCUUCAGGUAUACUGGGCCAAGGCCGUUUAGGGCUUUAAAGGUCAACACCAACACUUUGAAUUGUGCUCGGAAACGUACUGGGAGCCAAUGUAGGUCUUUCAAGACCAGUGUUAUGUGGUCUCGGCGGCCGCCCCCAGUCACCAGUCUAGCUGCCGCAUUCUGGAUUAGUUGUAGUUUCCGGGUCACCUUCAAAGGUAGCCCCACGUAGAGCGCAUUGCAGUAGUCCAAGCGAGAGAUAACUAGAGUUGAAAGUGCACUGGGUGGUUGUGAGGAUGAAAUGGAGUGGAGGAGAUGAAUGUAUGCCACCUUGGGGAAAGGCAGGAUAUAAAUGCAACCAACGAACAAAAUAUAUAACUUUGCAACUGCAAGAAACAGAAAUUUCUUUUUCUUAAAAAUGCCCAGGUAAUAAAUGCUCAAGUAAUCUGCUUACGAACCAUACUCAAAGCUCAGGUUACAUGAUUUGAGAAAAAAUAUGUGUUGGCUCAGCCAUGUUCCCUUCCGUGACACAUCAAUUUUAAUUUGGAGCCAGCUCCAAUAGAGCCUCGUUUCAGUGGCGUAGCGUGGGUUGUCAGCACCCGGGGCAAGGCAAGUAAUUUGCGCCCCCUAACCCGUGGAUUUUAGCACUCGAGUCUUGAGCGCGCGCCCCCCAGAUGUUGCGCCUGGUGCAGCCAGCCCCCCCUGCACCCCCCACGCUACGCCACUGCCUUGUUUUCCUCUUCUUUCUUCUCCUUACGUUUUCCCCCCUCAUCUUCCCAUGAUGAAGACAGAGGAAGGAGGGGACGUAUUUGGUAUAAUGAAAUGGCAGACCAAAGGGGGAAAUUAAAGAAUUGGAAUCAGUAGCCAGAUGCUGCCAAUUCAAAAGGGGGAGUUGGCAUAAUAAACUCAGACAGAGACUCUCUAAGAAUCCGCUCCCUUUAGUAUGAGCCACUAAUCUGAUCAAAAAGACCAAGCAGGAGUCUGAUUUCCCAGCUGGGGACUGCUUGGCUAGCUGUUAAUAAUUUUCACACCAGGGAAGCAUAAAAAAGCCCUUCUCGAGUUAAGAGUGUUUUGCUUUUAUUUUAAGAAGGGAUCGCCAGUUCCCCCUCACCUCAGGCAUCCGCUGGCACCCAGCGCAAACAUUCCUCCACAUUUUCACAGCCUCUUUCCAAAGCAGACAAGAGCAGCAGCAGCAGCAGCAUCAAAUUACUUUGCCAUCUCUAUUCCCCAGCCCUGAUUUUCUUUUUCUUUUUCGGAAUCCCACACUAGUACUGGCUGCUCUGGGGAGGUGGAGGGGAAGGCUGAGAAAAUGGCAAGGCAUUAAAAUGAUUCCUCUAAAACAAAACAGGUCACAUUACCUGCUCUGUUUUUUCCUAAUCAGCUGGAACAAAUUGAGGCAUUUUGGGGACCUGUUUUUACAUCCUGUCCCUCCCCACGCACAAAAAAAGGUUUCAUUCCAGCUUCCAACAUUCUUCACGUUUGAGUAACUGUAGAAACACAGUGGCCCCUUUACUGUUUUUAACAGGCCAUUUUUAUACUGCCAAGCCAGCAGGACGACCAUUCUAGGAGAAAAAAAAGUUUAAUGUAAAAGAGAUUAAGGAACAGGUUAAAGCUGAAAUGCUUUAAAACAGCAUUUUCCUCUCAGGCAGAUAUUUUAAAAACAGAACAGGGGGCGGCAUUCAACUACAUUUUGCUCAGAGUGGAGCCACUGAAAUUGACAAAUAAGACAAAUGUCAGGUGCAUUAACUACAAUGGGUCUCUCUGAGUAAACUUAGUUGACUACCACUCAUAACUCUUUGUUCAGGGUAGGAGUUCAUAUUUUUGCCUGCUUGACCAGCGGGGUGUGGCGAAAAAAAAUCAAUAGAUUGUACAGCAUCCAAUUAAUAAUAUUUUAUGGUUGGAUAAGUACCAAAUCUGAAAUGCAUUGAUUCUUACCUUUCUCAGCACCUAGCACAGAUAGUACAAAAUACAUGUUAAAGAAACCUGUUUUCUGCCUGCAGUUCUACUAAACUAAACUAAUAGUCCACCUGUAUUUCUAUUUCAAUGAGACCAAUUAUUUCUAUUUUUAGCCUUAUGUGUGAUAUCCAAAUCUACAAGAGCAGCCAGCAUCAGUUAAGUUCAAAGGAGAACCGUAUAGCAUCCCGACUCAUUUGGGACCAUCUUUUCCCAUCCCAAAUCCACCAGUAUUUUCCAAGUCCAUAGGCAUUCAUGUGCUAUCUACCAACACUGCUAUAAAUGUGCACAAUUUCCCUUUCAUUAAAUGUGUGUCGUUCGUAAACUUAAGAAGGAUGUGAUCAAAUUUGCUUGAUUGAUUUCCAUUUCUGACCACAGAUGAACAUGCAGACAACGGCAUCUUCUGCUUCCUUUUCCAUCCCCAUCAUUAUGGUGUGACACCCCUAGUUCUGGGGUAAGGAUAAGACAUGAAGCAGACACAGGAGUAUGGGAGAAAGGUGAAACAGAAUCCCAGUGCAGCCACCACAUGUAUGAUAGUAAAACCAAAAACACUAAAUUGCUCAAGCAGAGGCAGCAAUCCCAUCCAUGUUGAAGAAGCAAAUGUGAGAGUCAAAGAUGCGCUUUUCUUUUUUUCUUUUUCAAUCAUGAUUUUUAUUGAGUUUUCCAUGUUUCAUUUCAUUUUAUAAUACAUAUCCCAAGCUUACAUUACUACUCCAAGCGAGCAAUGACUUCCUUCCAUCACGCUUUCUGACUAUCCUAUUGUUUUAACAUAUUUGUCACAUUUCUAUAAUCACUUCUUUACCAUAUAUAAUCAUUUAACAAUCACCCUCUCAUUUGUAAAAUAGCUCCUUCUUUCCACAUUACAAAACAUUUCACGUUAAUGCUACAAAUGUUUUCAGGUGUUUACAACUUUCUUUCAAAUAAUUUAUAAAUUUGCUCCAGUCCCUUUGAAAUCUUUUGUCCAGUCGAUUCCUAAUUUUCUCCGUCAACUUCACCAGUUCAACAUACUCUACCAUCUUUAUCUGCCAGUCAUCUAGGGUGGGGAGCUCUUGCUGUUUCCAUCUUUGGGCCCGGAGGAUUCUUGCCACCGUUGUGGCGUACAUUAAUAGGUAUACAAAAGAUGUGCUUUUCUUUUUAGCAAUACUUAGACUAUAGUUCUAUAUACUGUUUAGAACUAUAUCUAUACCGUAUAGAACUAUAUACUGUAUUAGAACUAGCCUGUAUCUAGUUCUAAUGAUAUUAGCUCUGUGCAGAUGUUCUGAGCUGUGCAUAAUCACCAUGCAAAGGGGAUCGGGAUUGUGCUGAUCUCCAUGUGUUGACCAGGCUUUGUGCACAGAGCUUCCGCACAUAAAAGCUGGACAUGCGCAGCCUCUGAGCACUUUGAUCCUUUAUCUGAAUGUUUGCAUGGAAGCUCAGGGCUAAGCCAGCAGGGCUGAUCCCAACUCCCCCCCCUCCAUAUGUUGCACAGAUCUACUAUCGUUCUUAUAAAUGGAUGGGUCCCAUGCUGUUGUAUAUCCUUCCCUUGGAGAUGUGGCAGGCACUAGUGAUAAUGGUAUUCCACCACUUAGUUAAAACAUACCUAUUUCCAAGCGCUGGGUUGUUGUUUUUUGUACCAGCCUGAUUGGACAUUCUGGAUAUCUGUGCUUUUAGUAAUUUGCUGUUCUUACUGUACUGCUUUUAUUCCCUAAAUUGCCUUGUCAUUUUACAAUGAAAGGGACGUUAUUAAUAAUACAAAGUGAUGCCAAUAACCGUAUAUAGGACUCUGGUGGUGGUUGUUGUUGUUGUUUAGUCAUGUCUGACUCUUUGUGACCCCAUGGACCAGAGCAUGCCAGGCACUCCUGUCUUCCACUGCCUCCUGCAGUUUGUGUGGGAUGUGAAACACAAGAGCAGUCAAGUACAACAUUUCUAGAGUGAACGUGUUUACACAUGGGGAGGAAUGUUUGUCCAGCCAGCAGGUAAACUUCCUGUUUCCUUCUGGGCUGGGACAGACUUCCUCUGCAUGUGACUAGAGGUGGGCGUGGCCUCACCUGUGCAAGUAAUGACAAAAGCACAGGGCAGGGCAGCCAUCUCUCUCUCUAUGACUACAUGCAUUGAAGAAGCAACAUCUGCUUAGCCAAAGAUGCUCUCUUGGCCUCCAGCCAAGAGAGGACAAAUCGACUGUCUCCUUAUGAGAUAGUUUCCAGGUGUAUGUUACUUUUCUAAGCUAAGUCUGCCUUCUGGGAUCUGAUUGUGAACAGAAUGUGAAUAAACUCUUUUUAUACUUUUAUAAAAUACUGUGUUGUGUCUUAUCUUUUAUGAGGGAAUAAGGGGGAAAUACCAGAACAGUUAUUAUAGAGGCUCUCGUGAGGCGGCCAAAGUAUUGGAGCCUCAGCUUCAGGAUCUGUCUUUCCAGUGAGCACUCAGGGCUGAUUUCCUUAAAAAUGGAUAUGUUUGAUCUUCUUGCAGUCCAUAGGACUCUUACUAAGUGCUUAAAGUGUUUGUGGAAAUUGGGAGCUGAGGGUGAAUGUUAGUUACUUAUUGCCAAACGUUAGAGGGAAAAGAUCAGAGAUGUUUGCCACCCUACUUUUGAGCUUCUCUAAAGCAUUUGCUGGCAAAAAAAUGGUGGCCAGGAGUAAGUGGUUUUCAGUGGGUGUGGCAGGAAGGUUCAAGGACAAUCAAAGCAACAUUUAAACAUUUCAGUGUACUAUAGUACAGUAUAGCAUCAAAACAUUUUUUUUAUUUGCAGAAUAUGGAUAGGUACCUUUUCAAAAUGGGAGCAAGAUUUAUAUCAAUAAUUUUUUGGUACAGCGCAUGCAAAUUUUUAUUCUGAAAGUGUGGCCCAGAGGAAAGAAGUUUGAGAACUACUCAAUGGAUGAAUCCUUUGUCUGAUUCAACAAGGCAAUACUUUUUGAGCUGGGGAGUUCCUGGUACAUGAUUCAGUCCUUUAUGUACUAUAUACGUCAUUACCUCUUUCAAAUAUUAACUACAGGCUCUAUAUGCCAAGAAUGGAAUAAAAACUCACAACUCCCAAUUUACAAAGCAAUGUUCACAAUUCCAGGCCAUAAGAAGGGUCCUGCUGUGUUAGAGGCCGAUUUAAUGCAAUAUUCUGUUCUCAUAGUCUCUAACAAGAUGCCUCUGGGAAGUCUGUAACCAUGACUUGAGCAUAACAGAAUUUUAUGCUGGGGCAUCCAGGCUCCAAAGAACAAUCAUUUCCUAUGAAGAGUUACCAGUGAGGAUCCUUUUCAUUGGAAAUGAUAUCCAAAAUAUUGUCCAAGUUCAUAAUCUGACAUAGCCACUGUGAGCCAGACCAAGCAGUGGUCAGAAAUGACUUUAUAUCACACCUUCCUCUUGCCUGAAAAAGCUGCAAAGUUGUAACCAUCCCUGUGCGGUUUUGAUGUAGGUGAGAGAAAAAUCUUGCUUUACCAUCAUUUUCCCCCUUGCCUUAAAAAAAUAAAAAAUAAAAGGUCCAGCAGGCAAGUGGAGCAUCGCUCGGUGUAACUAUUAUUUGCACCUUUUUUCAUUUUAAAUCAAGUUCAUCUUUGUUACGGCUAAUUUGACACAUUACGAAACACCAAUUCAUUUGCUGUAAAUCAAACUGAGCACACUGUACCCUUGUUAGGAGCACUCGCUAAUUGUAGUCUAGAAUUUGGGGUUUUAUCAAGAAACGUGCCUAUGAUUACUUUAAUUAUAAUCAGGUUUAAUUACAGAAUGUUAAAGAUACAGAGCCAAUAAAUUAGUAAGUGUGCUGCUAGGGAGAGCCUUUAUUUGACACAAUGUUAUGAAUAUUUGGUCACAGGCCAGUUCAUGCUGCUUUCAAACUUACUUUCCUAAGGGACAGCACAAAAUCUCCCAAAGACUGAAAGGAAAAAGCUCCAUAGCAAACCAAAAAAACACAAACACACACAAACACACCCCUCAUAUGUCCUUUGGUUUGCUGUCUAGCAUUUUAAAGUAGACUUCAUGCUUUGAGAUUCAAAAUGGUCUAGGGACCCAUUAGUCUUUGAUUGGUUUUUAUCUACAUAAGCAAUUUUGUUAUGUUAGUAAGUGAGCAAACAUGGUGAAGGAAUAAGACCAAGUCAGCCUCUAGAAUAUCCCGCUAGUCCCAACACCUUGCUGAAGCUAAACCAAAGUACAUGUAUAAAUGAAAUGAUGGCAUAUUAUUUCACUGUUUGCCCCAUUGCUUUCAUUUCCCCCCUCUUUCACUGUAGUUACCCUUUCUGUCAAUUUUUAGAUGGCAAGCCUCUUGGGGCAGGGACCUGUCAAACAUGUAAAGUUCCUUGUACCCAGAUGGUUCACCAACAGAGUAGGAUAGAUGAUAGAUAGAUAACUGAGAAGUAAAUUCAGUUUUCAUUCUACAAGCACUGGUGGAUAUUAUUGAAUGCUGUUCAACCACCACUCCCAGCUCUAUUCAAAUGUCUGAAGGGGCAACAGAGAUUCUCGCAACCCGAUAUAGCUAUGUCUGUUCUGUGACGAAAUUCUUCCCCCCAUCAUGAAGCAAAUUUUGUAUCUUCAGUUUUGAAUUUUAAGUACUUUUAAAAAAAAGCUUUGAUUCCUGUUUAUUCUAGAAAUGGUACAAAAAUUCAGCUUUCUGGAUAGUGCAGAAGUAUCUUUGCUAUUGAGGGACGCGGGUGGCGCUGUGGGUUAAACCACAGAGCCUAGGACUUGCCGAUCAGAAGGUCGGCGGUUUGAAUCCCCGCAAGGGGGUUAGCUCCCGUUGCUCGGUCCCUGCUCCUGCCAACCUAGCAGUUCAAAAGCACAUCAAAGUGCAAGUAAAUAAAUAGGUACCGCUCCGGCGGGAAGGUAAACGGCGUUUCCGUGCGCUGCUCUGGUUCACCAGAAGCGGCUUAGUCAUGCUGGCCACAUGAGCCGGAAGCUGUACGCCGGCUCCCUCGGCCAAUAAAGCGAGAUGAGUGCCGCAACCCCACAGUCGGUCACGACUGGACCUAAUGGUCAGGGGUCCCUUUACCUUUACCUUAUCUUUGCUAUUGUGGGAUACACUUCGCAUCCUCUUUUUAUUUAUGGAAAUAUUUAUAUACCACCAGCUCAUGUAAAAUAUCAGUGCCAUCUAAGCAUUGCAGCUAGAUUGUACUUUUUCUCAGUUCAGAUUGAAGCUGGCUGGUGGGAGGGGAAUCCAUCAAAAUGCAGUCUUUCUUAAGGAAGAGCAGGAUAGGUAUGGGCUGUGGUUGGCAUGUGUGCACCACUUCCUAAACCAGGAAGCACGCAGAGUAAACAGGAGUGGGUACACAGCCCAAGAAAUGCCUGAAAGUCAAUAGAGAGGGUGACUGGCAUGAGACCAGUUCGUUGGAAGUUGUGGGUGGGUAGUUGGUUGGAUUUAGUGGGUUGGCUGGUUGGGAAAGGCAGUUGGUAAUAGAGAGACAGUUAGGGCAAUGGGUUCUUGAGUGUGGGAAGGUAGAAGAGAUAGAGAGAGGAAAAUAAGACUAAGAAAGUAAAGAGCAACAACAUUUGGAAUGCCGUAAAAGUUUUGUUUGUGUCUGAAAUAAAAUACACUCGUCUUUAUUAAUUGAGAAGCUGACUAAGACUGAAGUGAUUUUACCAGGGGGAACCUGGUUGGUGGCAGCGGUUUAGUGGUGUACGGGUCAAUAGUCCGUGAGACGACCGGGAGCUCCGUACGAACGCCACAAAAUUGCCGUUCUCUAUUGAAAGUCAAAUGCCCAACUUCUAGUUGAAGCCAGUCAGGCCUUUGUAACAACAGGGACACAUGACAACAUCCCUCUAGGUCAGUGUUUCCCAAAACAGGCAAUACUCGGCUCCCCCAGGGCACUGGAAGGAUCCAGGGGGGCAGUAGUAGUCUCUGCUGCAAUUCGGAGGUGGAGGCUGUUGAAUAAAAAUAAGGAGGCCGUGAAGGAAGAGAAGAAAACUUUGAAAAACUGUUUGUAGUUGUGAGUUGAGGACCCGCCACCCGCUUAGAGAUAAAUAAGACACAAGGACACAUGUAUUUUAUGUUUAUGGGCUAAAGAAGGCCACAACUUUAUUGGUUACAGCAUGUGAGUGGUAUUGGCUUAGGCAUUGGAUCAAACAAUCUAUACAUGACUCCACCCUGCUCAGCGGGAGUCCUUCGAAGGUUAACAACCAGUGUUGUAACAACCAGUGGGAGGAGCUUGUUGAUGCAAAUACAACUGGAAGCUUCCCCUGAUGUCACUGGGGGUUGUGCCAUGGCCCUAGCCACCAGCAGGGCAGUGGACAGGAUCCACGACCGCCGGAUUCCUUUAACGGAAUACCCAGCAAGGGGAGGGGUAGGUGAUGGCCACAACCUGCCCUCCAACACACGACACAUAUUCCAAUGCCUAACCGCCAUCCGAGCCAAAAGAGGCUCGUCGCCAAAUACCCUCACAGCUGCAACCAAUCCCUAAUGCUUCUGAUGAUAUCGGCCAAUCAUACAUCAUCUCUAUGAUUGGACAAAUGAACACCAUCGACUCGAAACAGAGCCACCUCGCUGAACCUGAUGAAUGAGGGCUGUCAGAGCUGCCGUGGCCACUUGAAUACAGCUAAAGCCUGCCCCCAAGCCAGCCCUAUUGGCUGGCUGACAGGCGCGGUGCGGCAGCCGGUAUAGCUGACACAGGGAGCCAAAUACGCCCCACUGUGGAUGCAGGAACCGGCUCCCGCUCACAACUCCUCCCCUCUGUUAGGAGGAGAGGCUUUCCAUGGCUUUCUCACAGUUGUCCAUGGAGGCACAGGUUAAAUCUGUAUCCAGGGCAGCUGUUUACCAGCUCCAUCUGGUACGUAGGCUGAGACCCUAUCUGCCUGCAGACUGUCUCGCCAGAGUGGUGCAUGAUCUGGUUAUCUCCCACUUGGACUACUGCAAUGCACUCUACGUGGGGCUACCUUUGAAGGUGACCCGGAAACUACAACUAAUCCAGAAUGCGGCAGCUACACUGGUGACUGGGAGCGGCCGCCGAGACCAUAUAACACCGGUCUUGAAAUACCUACAUUGGCUCCCAGUACACUUCCGAGCACAAUUCAAAGUGUUGGUGCUGACCUUUAAAGCCCUAAAUGGCCUAGGUCCAGUAUAUCUGAAGGAGCGUCUCCACCCCCAUCGUUCUGCCCGGACACUGAGGUCCAGCUCUGAGGGCCUUCUGGCGGUUCCCUCACAGCGAGAGGCCAAGUUACAGGGAACCAGGCAGAGGGCCUUCUCGGUAGUGGCGCCCGGCCUGUGGAACGCCCUCCCAUCAGAUGUAAAAGUGAUAAACAACUACCUGACAUUCAGAAGACAUCUGAAGGCAGCCCUGUUCAGGGAAGUUUUUAAUAUGUGACAUUUUAGUGUAUUUUUUAUCUUUGUUGGAAGCCGCCCAGAGUGGCUGGGGAAACCCAGCCAGAUGGGCGGGGUACAAAUAAUAAAUUAUUAUUAUUAUUAUUAUUAUUAUUAUUAUAUUGCUGGCACAUACCACCAGGUCAGGCACUGUUGCAGGAAGGCAACAACACCUCCCCUUGAUCUGGCAGUUGUGCUGGACGUGAAGAGUUUUCCCAGGCUUGGAAGAAUCUUUCUGAGCUUCGCCCAGGCCAAGGAAGUGGAUUGCAGCUUGCCUGCCUAUUUGGCAACAGGUGGAGUCCAACACAGUGAAGGAUUUAGGGGUGCACAACUGGUUCGGUGGAAGUGAGAGCUGGACCAUAAAGAAGGCUGAUCGCCGAAGAAUUGAUGCUUUUGAAUUAUGGUGCUGGAGGAGACUCUUGAGAGUCCCAUGGACUGCAAGAAGAUCCAACCUAUCCAUUCUGAAGGAAAUCAGCCCUGAGUGAUCACUGGAAGGACAGAUCAUGAAGCUGAGGCUCCAGUACUUUGGCCACCUCAUGAGAAGAGAAGACUCCCUGGAAAAGACCCUGAUGUUGGGAAAGAUGAAGGGCACAAGGAGAAGGGGAUGACGGAGGACGAGAUGGUUGGACAGUGUUCUCGAAGCUACCAGCAUGAGUUUGACCAAACAGCAUGAGGCAGUGGAAGACAGGAGUGUCUGGCGUGCUCUGGUCCAUGGGGUCACGAAGAGUCGGACACGACUAAACGACUAAACAACAAACUGGUUCGGUCACACUUGGUGCGGAGUCUCAGGGGUGCUGUCAGGGGGGAGCUGCUACUAUGAUUUAGCAUGGAGCGUGAGAGGCGGAGGGGCGCCGAACUUUGGCACCCCACAGGGCACCGCUAACAUUUGAGAAGGUCUGCCGCUGUCCAACGUCUGGAGAGGGCCACAGAUUCCCCAUUCCUGUGCUAUUGCGCCCAACUGUCUCCUCCACAGGCUCUUUAACCUGUGCAAGACAGACUGGGCGGUUGCUGAUCCCUAUUGAUCAGGUUGGGACAGAGGGCCUCCUCUUUGAGAGGCGCACGACUUUGGGGAGCGCUCUUACAACUUCUCCCGCAGCCCCACUCAAAAGCGGCUUGGGAGGGAGCUUGGAAAAGGUCGUUUUCCUUGCAAGCUCGAGAGAAGGGGCGCAUUUCCCCAGCGUAGAGCAACUACCCCUCGAAGUGCUGCAGCUUCUGCUGCACGUUCAGCUCCAGGGGGAGUCCCUCCGGCGCCAAACAACCACCCUGACGAAGCGGCCAGCUUGGCCAAGCAGGCGCGUUCCCUGGCGUGGCAUUCACCAAGCCGCCCGAGGAGGGCGCUCGCCCUGCUCGCCCGCUCGCUUCCCUGGAAGCUCCGCCGUCCUCCCUUUGGAGAAAGCCGCUUGCAAACGGACGUUUCCUUCCCCGCCUCCCCGCCUUAGAACAAAGCCUACCGGGGGGCUCCCGCUUUCGCCCUCCUCUGCCCACCGCGCCUUCAUUGCGCGCCGGUGGCUCCCAUUCCCGCUGCGCCUUAAAGAGCUGGCCGGGCAGUCGAGCUCAGGUGGGAAAUGGGGGGAUCUCCGGCUGAGAAGCCGAAAGCCUGCGCUUUGAGUCCGAGCUUUUGGGAAUGGGAGCAAGCGGGGGAGGCAGGGGGAGUCUCCGCGCCGGAUCCCAGCCUCGCCCUGCCGUCUGUCGCCUCUGGAGCGCCGCUGACAACUGGAGAGCUCUAAACGGAGCGGGAGGGAGAGACGGGUCCGGAUGGAUCAAUAUAAAAUUCAAAUACUUUUGUGCCACCUGUUGGAUUUUGCUACUAAUUGCAUGUCGUUGUGGGAGAGACCCGGGGAAAAGAGAGGCUGCCUCUGCACGUGGUUGGCCCUGAGCGUUGUUUUCGAUAUUUCUUUUUGAGUGUGCGCGCAUGCCCUUAUGAAACGCAUAUACGCCCCUUGUUCAUCCCUUGCAAGCCACGUUAAUCCAUCCAAACGGAUGGAUCACAAGUCCGGAGUGCCCAGUUCCGUGUAAUUCUUAUCCCAGGCAGUCACUUUUGACGCUUAAGGAUUAAUUUGCGCAUUAGGUGACGACAGCAAACCAUGGUUUGUACAAUUAACGGGAAUGCUGCUAUUCCUGUCUCUCUGCUAGAAAUACCCCUAAGGUAUACAUUUGCAAACUUUGGUUUGCCUCAGUUAUGCUUUCCAUUUCUAAGAACACUCUAUUAUUAUUAUUAUUAUUAUUAUUAUUAUUAUUAUUAAUUGCACGCCUAAAAUAUCCCAAAAUGUGAAACAGCCUUUGAAGAUUACAGGGUGAUGGCAGCUUACUUCAGGCUUCCCCAACCUGGUGCCCUCUAGAUGUCUUGGAAUACGGCUUCCAUCAUCUCUGACUAUUGGUCACACAGGCGGUCACCAGGCUGGGGGAUAUUGUUUCCUGGGAUAAUCAUGCUGAAGUUGUUCCACACACUCCAAAGCACUGUAGAAAUGCUAAGCGUUCUUCAUAGUGCAUGAUUGUAAUAACUUGAGGAUGCACCUGCCCACAAAGAUUCAGGCCUCAUUCUUGCCUUUUCAGAAUGCAGAUUCCGUUUUAUUGUAAUAUAGCCCCUUCCCAAAUUCAGCCAAGGGUUCAAAUUGUUUAAUGCUGCUCCACACACACACACACACACACACACAAGUUACUGCACAUAGAAAGCAAGCGUGUUGGGGGGGGAGCCUUAUAUUAGAACCCAAUUAAGCCUUCUCCACUUGUUCCUUUUCAUGCAGUUCCUAUCACAGCCCAGCCCUGGAGUCUUCCACAAUUUCAGGCUGACCUUCUGCCGUGGGACGUCUGCUGAACACAUAGAGGCUCCCUGUGCGACUUAGAACCUGCUGUAUCAGAUCAUGUGGGGAACCUACACAAGUAUAAGAGACUCUCCCUCUGCAAAGGUUUGACCCAAAUGACUUUGUAACUUAUAAAGUAGCACUCUAUGCGUUGGCAGCUAAGAAGAUCGGGAGGAAAGAACUAGAUAAAAUAGCGGUCAACUGCAAAGGAGAUUCGGAUAUUUAAUUUGGCAUAUUUUACAGUGGUACCUCGCAAGACGAAUGCCUCGCAAGAAAAAAAACUCGCUAGACGAAAGGGUUUUUUGUUUUUUGAGCUGCUUCGCAAGACGAUUUUCCCUAUGGGCUUGCUUCGCAAGACGGAAACAUCUUGCACGUUUGUUUCCUUUUUCUUAACACCGUUAAUACAGUUGCAACUUGACUUCGAGGAGCAACUCAUAGAACGCGGUGUGGUAGCCUUUUUUGAGGUUUUUAAAGACUUUGGUGAUUUUUGAAGCUUUUCCAAAACUUUCCCGACACCGUGCUUCGCAAGACGAAAAAAAUCGCAAGACGACAAAACUCGCGGAACGAAUUAAUUUCGUCUUGCGAGGCACCACUGUACUAGAGAAUCUUCUGCUAUUCUAUUUUAUGCAACAAACAAUCUUAGUAGCUGUGACUGUAGUUUAUAUUGUAUGUGUGGUGCCUGAUGAUCUUUAUGGUUAUUGCAGUUUUUCCUUUUGUUAUUUUUCUGAAUGAUGUCAUGGCCUAUGGCUAGCGCAAUAAAAGUCGAGGAGGAGGAGGAGGAGGAGGAGGAGCUUUGGCCCAAAUGCACAGAGGGCUUCAGGGAUGGGCCGUCUGGUAGAGGCCAAUGUGUGUCCAUCACCCCACACCCCCUGCUUUUCCCCACUCAUGCAAUUGGCAUUGUAAGAGGGGCACUAAGGGACAGGGCUACAGUUUUACACAUCCAGAGGUAAGUUUAUUUACCUGUGGUGAAACAUUCGACCACGUGAACCUCACCUAUUGAUUCACUGCAAUAAGCUCUAGGGUGGCCACAUUUAUCAGGAUAAACUUUCUACAAUGCACAAGUAAUCAUUUGGUAAGCAACUUGUCUGUAGCCCUAGUCAGGUGUGCUCUGCAGGCCCUGUCGGCUGCCACCCACACAUUGGAGGCAGGAGAACUGGAGCGGGGAUCCUGGUUACACAUGUGAUUUAGAACCCUAGUUUUGUGGGGCUAUUACCCUUCUUCAAGUGCCAGGUUAUCCAGAAACCUUGUGAGGUGGGACACUCAAAAUGCAUAUCUUUGCAUGUUACCUCUUAAUCAUGCAAUUACAAUACUUUACCACGUGGUGAAAUAUCGUCUGUAUGCACCCAUUGGGGCCGCUGUAGUAGUGCACAUCAGCGUUGCAUGCUAGGAUAUAUUUUUUUCCUCCCUAUGUAGCAUUUAUUGGGUCAAUAACUCAUUAUUAAAGCAGGUUUGUUUGUGCCCUGCAAUAACAAAGACCUCGGUAUUGUGGAGAGAAUGACCGCUCCCCGCAUAAAACGGGGGGCGACCUUUGUGUGGACGCGCGCAGCCCCUGGAUCUGGAGUGGCUCCAUCAGCAUAGGCUUGGCUUUGGCUUCCCUCAGGUGGGAUACCUGGAGGUCUCCGCCUACCCCAGUCAGUUGUCCAAUCCCACCUGGGGGAAGCGUUGCCAAGGAGAUCAGGCCAGGUGGGGGAGGGAUUACCUGCCCACACAAUAGAGCGAGGAUCUUACCUGGGAAUCCUCACCCCAUCCCCCACACAAAUACUGGAUAACACUGAUGCUCCCUAGGUCCCCGGCUGGGGACUGGGGAGGGAGAACGCCCAAUGCCUGAGCCAAGGUCUACCCACAUUUGAAAUUUAAUAAAGUUGUGGCCAAUUUAAUCCCAUAGCACGUUGUCUUGAGUCGUUAUUCCACAUGACGGGGGGGCCGCUCGGGACCUGGGGACUCCGCCUGUCCACGCAAAAGGUAUCGUUUAUAUUCUAGCGUUUGGUGUCAGAAACUUGGUAGAUGUUGACAUGAACCUCAGUGGCAAAUGUCAAGAAAUCCUAGCCAUGAACUUUGCCAUUGACACAUUGCCUUCUGCUUGUACAUGAUGGCGAUGUGGAUUUCAUUUGGACAGCCAUCAUGGAAGCCACUAAGUUGGCUUUAACAUUUACAGGUAAAUGACAGGCUCUUCGAACAUUUCUCACAGGGUUCGAUUAAAUAUUUAGAUGUGGUGGGAAAUGUCAACAUUCACCAACAGGCCAAUUCUUUCCAAGUGUGGGGGCAAGACCUACUCAUAGCAGGACUAACAGAGUCCUGUUUCUCCUUGGCUCAAAUGCAGGCAAUACAGUGGUACCUCCGGCUACAGAUGCUUCAGGUUACAGACUCUGCUAACCCAGAAAUAGUACCUCGGGUUAACGUACAAGUGCUACAAAGGAUGGAAGAUUUGCAUGCACCUCCUUUUUUUGCCAUGAAGAGAUCACUCUUUGUGUAAUAUAGGCCCUUAUGGGAUGUUAGGGAAGGGGGUAGUGCCUCUAGGGGGGGUGACACACCUUCUGGGGUAGUUUCUGUGCGCUCAGCUCUCACCUGUGGCUUCUGGAAGCUGUCAGCAUGCAACAGCAGCCACACUGGGAAACAGCUUCAACUGGCCGGCUAAACCAGGUGAUAUCUAUAUUAGUGGACAACAAUGCCUAGCACCCCAGACUUCUGUGUUGAGCACACUGUUUUAUGGAAGUGAGUCAUAGGCAAGUUGCACCCGCCAGGGGUGACACCUCAGUGCCUUCCACAUCAGGAAGAUUUUGGGCAUCACAUGGCAGGCAGAGUUUCAAGCAAGUAUGUGCUCUCCCAAGCCAACAUUCCAAGCAUGUUCACACUCCUGUCUCAGUGAUGUCUAUGUUGGCUUGCUCCUGUCCAUUCCACAGAGUGGAAGAUGGCAGGCUCCCCAAAGACCAGGCCCACUGGCAGGCAAACACUGUGUACAAAGAUGUCUGCAAACAUGUCAUGAAGGGUGGCAACAUCAACUUUGCUGUAUGGGAAUCCCUUGCAGACAAUUGCGGUGCCUGGAGGCAGACAGUCGGGUUGCAUAUCCAGAGCAGUGACCAGAGGAGGAAUGACCACUGGGAGGAGCACAGAGAGAAGGAACGCCAUGGUGCAUCUGUAGCAGCACAACCAGACACCUUCAUCUGCCCCAGCUGCAACAAAACCCGUCUCUCCCAUAUUGGUCUCUAGAGCCACAGUAGGUGCUCUGAAUCCAGUGGUUUGAUUUCACCCCCAAAGGCACACUCUUCCUUUGUCUCCCCAGAUGGAUGCCAACCACCUGACAAGUGGCCAUACUAGUUGGGGCUGAUGGAAGCUGUAGCCCAGCGGCUUCAGAAGUUCACCAUGGUGGAUCCUACACACAUAUAAAAAAGUUCUGAAAAUGCUUUUUUUUAAAGCAUUUUAAAAAAUACAUUGAAUUUUCCAUAAGGCUCAUCAUCGCCAUCUAGCGUCACAUUGUAUAUUGCACUUAAAACACACUUAAAACGUUUUAUUUGCAGCAAUAUAGCUAAGUCCCAUGUUGGCUCCUUCUGCUUUAAAGCUUCCCUCCUUUUCUCUCUAGGCUCAACUGCCUUCUAUAAGCUCACAAGUUCCUGUCGGCAUUUUUUUAUUUUUUCAGUGCAGAGGCUAAACGUCAUUUUCUUUUAAUUCCCAUAUUUAGAUUUUAAUUUUAUUUUUGCAUGCUUGUGCAUAUCCUGAGUAUACAGAAGUUUCUGCCGUAAUUUUUUGGUGGCCCCAUUUUGUUUCCAAACUCAUGUGUACUCAGCCCAUUAAGGAGAGAAUGAUGUAGUCUUGCAUGGCACCCAAACCUGCAUUAUUGCACCAUAGGGCUAAUAAUGUGAAAGUGUCCCAGAUGUUUUGGGACUACAACUCCCAUCAUCCCUAGCUAACAGGGCCAGUGGUCAGGGAUGAUGGGAAUUGUAGUCUCAAAACAUCUGGAGGGCCGAGUUUGCCUAUGCCUGCUUUAAAAUCUGUUUUAAAGUGGGGUGCAUUAAUUGAAUAAUUGCAUGUAAACGAUUAUUUUAACAAAGGGAAGGUAAAAAGGUAAAGGUAAAGGUACCCCUGCCCGUACGGGCCAGUCUUGACAGACUCUAGGGUUGUGCGCUCAUCUCACUCUAGAGGCCGGGAGCCAGCGCUGUCCGCAGACACUUCCGGGUCACGUGGCCAGCGUGACAAGCUGCAUCUGGUGAGACAGUGCAGCACACGGAACACCGUUUACCUUCCCGCUGGUAAACGGUCCCUAUUUAUCUACUUGCACCCGGGGGUGCUUUCGAACUGCUAGAUUGGCAGGCGCUGGGACCGAACGACGGGAGCGCACCCCGCCACGGGGAUUGGAACCACCAACCAUGCGACCGGCAAGUCCUAGGUGCUGAGGUUUUACCCACAGCGCCACCCGCGUCCCUAAAAGGAAGGUAGGAUACUAUUUAUAGGGAGCAAGGGGCAGUAGGUCCUUAUUGGUAUAAUUAGCCACUCAUCUUUCAGAGGUACGUUUUCAAAGCACGUCUGCACAUGAACAGAGUUAAGACAUGCUUUGUCGCGUUGUACCCUGCAUGAAAUUGCUAUUUCAUAAACACAGCAGACUGGCCAUUAUUCCCAAUUGUGAGACUAUGUUACAGCCUAAUAAUGCAGGCGUGCCCAGAAAAUAUUGAUAACCUGCAAGGUCUUAUGCAUAUGGCUUUCAAACUGCAUCCAAGAAAACCCAGGGUUUCUCAGAAGUUUCUCAAGGGCCCCAUGAUGAGAUGUGGACAGAUUCCUUGGAAGAUCUCUGUUCUAACCUGCUGUUGUAAGAGCUAGUUGCUGAACUGCUGUUGUUGUUUAGUCGUUUAGUCGUGUCCGACUCUUCGUGACCCCCUGGACCAGAGCAUGCCAGGCACUCCUGUCUUCCACUGCCUCCCGCAGUUUGGUCAAACUCAUGCUGGUAGCUUCAAGAACACUGUCCAGCCAUCUCGUCCUCUGUUGUCCCCUUCUCCUUGUGCCCUCCAUCUUUCCCAACAUCAGGGUCUUUUCCAGGAGUCUUCUCUUCUCAUGAGGUGGCCAAAGUAUUGGAGCCUCAGCUUCAGGAUCUGUCCUUCCAGUGAGCACUCAGGGCUGAUUUCCUUCAGAAUGGAUAGGUUUGAUUUUCUUGCAGUCCAUGGGAUUCUCAAGAGUCUCCUCCAGCACCAAAAUUCAAAAGCAUCAGCUCUUCGGCGAUCAGCCUUCUUUAUGGUCCAGCUCUCACUUCCGUACAUCACUACUGGGAAAACCAUAGUUUUAACUAUACGGACCUUUGUUGGCAAGGUGAUGUCUCUGCUUUUUAAGAUGCUGUCUAGGUUUGUCAUUGCUUUUCUCCCAAGAAGCAGGCGUCUUUUAAUUUGCUGUCACCAUCUGCAGUGAUCAUGGAGCCCAAGAAAGUAAAAUCUCUCACUGCCUCCAUUUCUUCCCCUUCUAUUUGCCAGGAGGUGAUGGGCCCAGUGGACAUGAUUCCUGGCCACUGGCCAUGCUCUCCGGGGUUGGUGGGCGUUCACCAGAAUACUUUGCAGCAGGCAGGAUUCCAUAGCUGAUGAGUCAGUUUGGAACCGGUUUCCCCAAGGAAGGAAGUCUUAAAAACCACUGUUCUGACACUUGUAUAACAAGGGCUCAAUUCUAUUAUGAAAAUGCAUGCAUGCAUCAACAGUAAAAUCUGGCAGGCCACAUCAAGCGGUGGAGGAGGGAGUCUCUUUUCUGACAAAUAAUAAAACGUAAUCUUUGAUGUAUAAAAUUUGGAGCUUUGCCAAUGUGCCAAUCAAUAAUCUGUGUAUGAUAAAUCAGCAAUCAAAUAUUUUUGAGUCAUAGGAAGGUGGGAGGGAGGGAUCUAGCUGCUGCCAGCCUGUCAAUCAAUCAAUCAAUCAAUCACAGAGUGCCUGAAGAACCACAGAUUAUUUCUUUCUUCCUCUCUCUCUCUCUCUCUCUCUCUCUCUCUCUGUGUGUGUGUGUGUGUUCUGGACUCUGCCAGUCUGCAGGUCCAAUCAAUCACUGUGUGCCUGAUGAAUCAUGAAACGCACUCAGUGACAUGUCAGUGCACAUACUCACUUGGUACAGCUCUCAUCACCCUGAGUUUGUCUUGCAGUUAAAUUGACUGAAGGCGAGUUGCAGAAAAUGUUCUUUCUCCCAGCUACUGACCUCCUCCUCCUCCUCCUCCAUCACCAGCCAGUCUCAAAUUCCCUUAGUCUGUCUUUUGGUUUUAAGCGGAAUAUUUCUAGACAAGGGUUCAACAAGGCAGUGAACAGACGUUUCUGAUGUCAAAUUGGCUGUUAAACUAUCAACAAAGAUGUUAGACAAAUUCAACAAGAGAAUGGAUUCCUGCAAGGUACAUUCUCCCCCCUCCCCAAAACUCAUCCAUUUUACUUAACACAGCUGCGCAAUCAAUGGUGUGACACUAGGAUCACAAGGGUCCUGUUUCAAUAUCCUUAGAAUUUGCCUCACUUCCUAUCAUGAUACAUUACAGAUGGGAUGGGAUGGUGGCUGCUGCUGUUCUUUUGUUUCAUUUUCAACGUAUUUGUGACUGUUUGCUACACAAUGGAUCUGCAAAAAACAUGGACAUUCGUUACAGCAAAACAAAAACAGGAAAACCCAACCUCUGGGGUCAGCUUCAAGUUUAACAACGUACUUAAGGCAACUUUUCCUAAGAGGGCCCCAUAACCAUCUGGGUGUAGUAGAGGUAUAGGCAGUUGAAUUUUCACAGGAGGGUGUCAGCACCCAAAUCAGAUGGGGCUUGGAAAAGUCAGAGACGUUGUGUGUGAGGGUUUGACAAGUGAGCCAUAUAACUAGUCUGUCUUAGAGUUGCCGCAAAUGGAAUCCCUGAUCUGGAGUUUGUGCAGGGUAGAGGUGAAUUUGUUCUCCACCACAAGAAUGAGUUUCAAAGCUUUACUGGAAACAAUCUUAAAAUAGUUACAAAAUAAAUGUUGGCCAAAAAUACAAAGUAACACAUUGCUCUUAAACAAACUAUCAGUGUAGACUAGUCUUCUUUUUUGUCCUUAAUAUACAGUGGUACCUCGGGUUACAGACGCUUCAGAUUACAGACUCCGCUAACCCAGAAAUAGUACCUCGGGUUAAGAACUUUGGUUCAGGAUGAGAACAGAAAUCGUGCUCCGGCAGCACGGCAGCAGCAGGAGGCCCCAUUAGCUAAAGUGGUACCUCAGGUUAAGAACAGUUUCAGGUUAAGAACAGAUCUCCGGAACGAAUUAAGUUCUUAACCAGAGGUACCACUGUAGUUCAAUAAACUAUGAGAAGUGGGUCGCUGCUGUAGCUAUACCAUAUAAUGGCCACCUACUAAAAUAACAUUUUAGAAAGAUGGGAGGUGUAUAUUAACUAUUAGAACGAACUGAUUGGUAAACAAGCCUCUAGCAAACAGCUUUGCUUUUUUACAAUCAAGUGGUAUAAAAAUAUAUGAAAGAAAUAAAAUAAACUAGUGACCCUCUUGAUGGGUAGUCAAUGUGGUUCCCCUCAGAUGUUGUUGGACUACAACUCCCAUCAGCCUUGACUAUCGACCACACCUGUUGGGAUGGAUGGAAGUUAUGCUCCAACAUCUGAAGGGUACCAUAUUGGCUACCUUUGUAUCAAUAUCUGAUAUUCUAGUCUUGUGCACUGUGAUUUGUUUUUGUUCUCAUCCCUCUCAGAUUUAUGUAAUGGGUAAAAAUUCAUGGUUGUAUUUGCUUACAUAUAGCUUAACAACAGUAGCUAAGUUUGAUAAUAUACAAAUAAAAUAGAAUUUAAUAAGAAGGUGAUGGUUUUGUAUAAAAUGAGUCACUCUGGCAAGCUACAGAGCUGACUUGAGAGAAAACCUGGAAGAAGCCAGGUUUGGGAACUGGUUGGCUAAACUAUGAGCAGGAAAGGUGACAAUGAGUUUUGCCGAGUUAAACUUGCCCCUUAUGAAUAACAUAUUCUUACAAAUUACCGAGCAAAAAAGUUUUUUUUAUAAAAAAAACAUUUUUCUGCUGAGAGUCUCUUUAUACAGCAAAUCAUUCAUAGUCAAACACUGUGUGAACUAAUAGUGCAAUUGAAAUGUCUUUCAAAAUUAUGAUGUUCGAUAAUAUAUUAAAGACAUGUUAAACAAAUAUUGCAUAAAGGUUCCCUCUUUCAAUCAAGCUCGUACUCAGUUCAGCGGAAUCCCUAAGGAAAUAUGGGAAGUGAUUCUUUAAAAGAAAAAGAAAAAUGUCCUUGGUUUUUUGGCUUUCAGCACCUCAAACGCUUCACCUGGAGCCUCUUCUGAAACUCAUCGCGUGUGCAGAAAAUGUUGGCAGGAGAAAAGAAGCAUUCUUCUCUAAUGGGAAGCAACAACAAAACAGUUCUUUGAACGCUUUCCAGAAAUAUAGGCAGAAAACCUUCCAGGUAGAGUUGCAACAACACAGUCCAUCCUCAUAACAACUGCUUAAUUGAACGGCUUGGGAGCAAGCAGGGCUGAAGCUGAGCAGAUGUAGACCUGAUCAGGGCCCAGAUAUCAGGGCCACCAUGUGGACCACACUAGGAGAUGACAAGGGCACAAGCAUAAUAAAACAAAUUCAUGUUUAGUCUGUUUGAUCCAUCCAGACCAAAGAGCCAUGUGCUGCAGUAGCCAGCUGCACACAUGGCAGCUUCUCAGUUCUUGCAAUUUCGGGAAAGCAACAAUAACAGGACACUUAUCGCAGGGAGCUGCCUCAUAUCAGGUCAGAGACUCUUUGCCCACCUAGCUCAGUACUCUUGACUCUGACCAACAGUAGCUCUCCAGAGUCUCAGGAGAAAUUUUCCAUACCACUCCAUUACCAGGUCAUUUUUAACCAGAGUCACGAAAUUAAAAGAUGCCUGCUUCUUGGGAGAAAAGCAAUGACAAACCUAGACAGCAUCUUAAAAAGUAGAGACAUCACCUUGCCAACAAAGGUCCGUAUAGUAAAAGCUAUGGUUUUCCCAGCAGUGAUGUAUGGAAGUGAGAGCUGGACCAUAAAGAAGGCUGAUCGCCGAAGAAUUGAUGCUUUUGAGGAGACUCUUGAGAAUCCCAUGGACUGCAAGAAGAUCAAACCUCUCCAUUCUGAAGGAAAUCAGCCCUGAGUGCUCACUGGAAGGACAGAUCCUGAAGCUGAGGCUCCAAUACUUUGGCCACCUCAUGAGAAGAGAAGACUCCCUGGAAAAGACCCUGAUGUUGGGAAAGAUGGAGGGCACAAGGAGAAGUGGAUGACAGAGGAUGAGAUGGUUGGAUAGUGUUCUCGAAGCUACCAGCAUGAGUUUGACCAAACUGCGGGAGGCAGUGGAAGAGAGGAGUGCCUGGCGUGCUCUGGUCCAUGGGGUCACGAAGAGUCAGACACGACUAAAUGACUAAACAACAACAGAACCUGGUGUCCUCUAUAUGUAAAGGACAUACUCUGCCACUGAGCUAUGAACCCUCAAAGGUUCUUCACUGGCAUUCAUCUGUCUCGAGAAGCAAUGGAGUGCACCUCCAGGGGCAAAGUCAAACCCCUUCAGCAAUUAAUUGAGGCGCAAGACUGGGCAAUGUGUAUGGAGGUCCUGGGCUGCCCAGACGACAAGACCUCCCUCUCAGCCUCGCUGAUGUGGUCCAAAGGAAAGCAGAGCAAGAGGUUUAGCACCAGCUUGGCUGCAGGAGUUGCUGGAUGGAGGCAUACAAGGCCCUAUCCAGCCACCUUAGGGACUCCAUUCUGGAUUUGUGUAGAGUUUACUCUUUAGCCCUUUCUUCUCCCAGAGAUGUCCCACAAGGCAGUUGAGGUUUAGGAUCAGAGUUUGAAAUUUGGGGAUUUGCGUCCACAAGAAGUGCUUUCAUACAGUCUUCCUUAGAUGAAAUGGAGGACGGGAUCAAGAGGAGGAGCUUAGGUCUUAUUGGGUCAUAAAUAGGGCAGUGGAAAAGAAAUGUAUGAAGUCCUCUACUUCAUUCAUUGUGCAUGGACAUAGACGCUGAGUAAUAGGGGUCUUAGAGUAGAUCCCCUGCAGGAAGGCCGUGGGUAUAGAAUGAAAGCGGGCCAUUGUAAACGCUCUUCUCAAAUUGGGCUCCGUCAGGUCUAUCAAGUAGUUGGCAAGUGAUCUUACCACUUUCACUUUGGGGAGCCACAUGGAGAGGCGAGCUGAGGUGGACUGUGCCCGGUCCAUGGCCUCAUCUCUUGUAAGAAUCCAGGCCUGGAUUUUAUGUUGGUCCCAAGAUGACAACGUGUCGAAAUCUGGGAGGGAGUAGCGUACAGUAAUAGUCUCCAUGGCCUUGGACCAUUUGUUGGAGUGAGAACAAGUUAAAAAGGCUUGCCUGGCUAGUAGGGAACCUGGGGCAUUGAUUAAUUUGCAAUAAAAACUAAUAAUUCUAAUGUGGGCUCUCGCAACAAUGGAGGGGAGGCCCAGUUCUGUUCUUAACUGUGCAGCAACCGAGCCCUUAGGGAGACCCAGUAUCUUUCGUGCAAAAAGAGUUUUGUAGAAUCUCCAGCCGUUGUAGUGUUUUUAAAUUCCACCCCAGAUUUCAACCCCAUACAGUAACAUCGGGAGGACUUUGCUGAUAAAUGCUUUUCUGAUUGGUGGAACCAACUGGCCGCCUUUUGCAUAGAAGAAUUUCUCCAAGGCUUUGAUGGUUCUACGGGCAGCCAGGAUGGUCAUAUUUAGGUGAGCUGACCAGCUAAGCCCAUGCUGAAAAGUGAUUCCCAAAUACUUGAAUGCUGAGCAAUAUUCAAUAGAGUGGCCCUCAAAAUUCCAGAAUGACUUCCGAGUUUUCGUGCCAAAAGUAAGAAUUUUGGUUUUGGCGAAAUUGAUUUUGAGGGAAUUGGUAUCACAAUAUGUCAUGAGCCCUCUGAGCAUGUUGUUUAAGCCCUGCUUGGUUAAAGACAGUAUCACCAUGUCGUCCGCAUGAGAGUAAUAUGGGGAUCUUAAGCUGUUGUAAAGAGGGGCAGAUUGAUUUAGGGCCUGCAUAGUUGUAACGAUGUCGUUGAUAUAGAAAUUAAAUAGAAAAGGGGCCAAGAGGCAGCCCUGUUUGACCCCUUUAUUCAGAGAGAAAGAAUCAGAAAGAGCUCCCAGAGGGUCAGAUUUUACUCUGGCCGAUAUGUCAUUAUGAAUUUCCAUGAGAAGGAGGAGGAGUCUCUUAUCUAUGUUGGUGGAACUAAGCUUCUGCCAUAGCCUAUCUCUGGGAAUGGAGUCAAAAGCGGAGGUCAGGUCCACAAAAGCCGCGUGUAGUUUACAGUUGAACCUGUUUAGGUAUUUAUCAAUCAGGGUAAAUAGAACAAGACAUUGGCCAGAUGUGCUGUGACCUUUACGGAAGCCAGUUCCUUCUCCUAGAUUGGCUCCCUUCCCAGGCUGACAAGCCUCAUCUGCCCCUCACUUCCCUCUACAGCACCUGCAGAAACCACCUUCUUGACCUCUGGACUCACUAUUGCUCUCAUCUGCUCUAUCCACCAGAGCCUAUCUUCACAUGCAGAGGAAGACCAUUACUCACUGAGGGUUUGAGACCCAUCAGCUACCCUCACCUGGUUAAUUGGCCAGUCAAAGUCAAUUCUCAGGGUGUGCCCACUGUUGCAUGCUGACAGCUUCUAGGAGCUACAGGUGAGAGCUGAGUGCAGGAUGGGGACCAAAGAUGGACAAAAUACCACAGGGUGUAUGAGGUGUUAAGGGAGGGGCAGCACCUCUGUUGGGGGCAUGUCAUACUCAAAGGUCCUAGUGGGCCUCUAUUCAUGACCGGUGAGCUGCAAACAGCUUGAUGGGCCUCCAAGUUGUAGUGGCUUAAGUUUGGAACAUUUCUUUCUAUCCUGAGGCAACAAGGAACAUUGAAACCCAGAGAAUCAUAGAGUUUGAAGGGACCCAAGCGUCAUCUAGUCCACCCCUGCAAUGCAGGAAUCUUAGCUAAAGCAUCUAUGACAGAUGGUCAUCUAAACCUCUGCUAAAAAACCUCCAAGGAAGGAGAGUUCACAACCUCCCAUUGGAGACUGUUCCACUGUCGAACAGCUCUUGCUGUCAGAAAGUUUUUCCGUAUGUUUAGUUGGAAUCUCUUUCUUGUAACUUGAAGCCAUUGGUUCAAGUCUUACCCUCCAGAGCAGGAGAAAACAAGCUUGGGACCCCCUUUAAUAAUAAUCAGUGGAUUCAUUCACAAACUACCUGGGUAAUAUUGUCUUUGUGCUCCACUGCCAGUCACUUGGUCAAUGAUCUCUGAGAAGAGGUGAACAGGGUCAGUUGUACCUUAUUGAUCUUCUUGGAACUAUUGGCACAGCUGAUCAUAAAGCACUGUGACAUGACUGUGGGAACUUGCUCUGGGCCCAUCCUUGAACAGGGAUGCAACAAAUACCCAUUAUUUUCAUUAUCAGUAAUGAAAAAUGCAUAUUUGCUGCUAUCACUAUAAACAUUAUUAGUAUCACUAUUGGUAUUAUUAGUGAUAUUAGUAUUGUUUUGAUUUCUUACCUGCCCUUCAUCAUAAGGUCCCAGGGUAGGAGACAGUAAUUAAAAAAUGCAAUAGGGGUCCUAAGCAUAUAUACACCUGAGAAUAAGUGUAUGAGAUAUAGGAACAUGUUUCUGAAAGGUGAUUGCAGUGGGUUUGUUUGUUUUUUUCAAAUAUUUAAUAAGUCGCCAAAGGUUGAGCAAAAUGUCAUUUAACAAAAGCAAACCAGUCCAUGCUUUAAAUGCAGAAGAAAGACCAUACUGUACAAUAGCAGACUUUUUCCCCUUACCUAAAGGUAAAGGUAAAGAGGCCCCUGACCAUUAGGUCCAGUCGUGACUGACUCUGGGGUUGCGGCACUCAUCUCGCUUUAUUGGCCGAGGGAGCCGGCGUACAGCUUCAUGUGGCCAGCAUGACUAAGCCGCUUCUGGAGAACCUGAGCAGCGCACGGAAACGCCAUUUCCCUUACCUAUUUGCUUCCAAAGUAUGAACGAGACACAGUUUAAGUGUAUGUGCCUUUAGGUGGAGAAUUAUGACAGUAAUGUUAGUGUCUCUCUAAUACGGUGGUUCUCCAAGGGUGUGACGCAAGAACAAGCAAAGAAACACUUAGACGUUUCAGUAUAGAGUAGAGUAUAAAAACAGUUUGGUUUUGGAUACGCAACCAGAAAAGGUAUCCACGCUUCCCUUCAAGGACAUUGCCUAUUCUUCUACCAUUCUCCAUGACAUAUUGUUGUGAACAGGGAUUUUCAACCCUGAGAAAUGAAAGAUCAGAAAAGAGAAAGGCUUCUUUGUGCCGAUGAGGAGAUGAGAGCUUGUUUGUCUCAAAUUAGACCUAAUAUAAAUCAGAUUACCCAGCAAGCUGGCACCUCUCAUUGAAUUUGUAUAUAUGCUUAAGGUAUAUAUGCUUAUGUAAGAGGUUCUUUUAUCAUUCUAUUCUGGGAAGAAUACAUGUCCUUAUGUAACUGCAUUGUUUUAUACCAGGGGUGGUCAACUCCCAAGAGACUGUGAUCUACUCACAGAGUUAAAAACUGGCAGUGAUCAAUCCCCUUUUGGGGGGUUCAAGUCAAAGUUCUUGAGCUUUUCUUAAGGGAGCCAAAGUUGUUGAGCUUCUUUGGGGGGGACCACAGUGAUCUACCACAGAUGUCCAGUGAUCUACUGGUAGAUCACAAUCUACCUCUUGGACAUGCCUGUUUUAUACUUUCUGGAUAUGCCAUGAUCAUAUUAUAAAGUAGUUGUGUUCUAUGUUAUUAAUCAAGCACUGUACAGUGGUACCUCAGGUUAAGUACUUAAUUCGUUCUGGAGGUCCGUACUUAACCUGAAAAUGUUCUUAACCUGAAGCACCACUUUAGCUAAUGGGGCCUCCUGCUGCUGCCGCGCUGCCGGAGCACAGUUUCUGUUCUCAUCCUGAAGCAAAGUUCUUAACCUGAAGCAAUAUUUCUGGGUUAGCGGAGUCUUUAACCUGAAGCGUAUGGUACCCGAGGUACCACUGUAUGUGUUUUCUUAUCAAUAAAAAAAAUCAGCGUGGCAUGAGCAAAUUCUGAAAGUGUGGCCCAAAGGAAAACAUUUGAGAACCGCUGCUCCAAUAGCAAACUCUGGUGGCAAGUGCCAACAGUCAUGCCUUGGGAGCAGCCAGUGCCUCAAUGAAAGGAGGGAAGUAUCAUAAUACUUGGGAACACCAAGGUCUGCAAAAGUACACACACCAAAUAUUAAGAAUCCUAAGGGAGAGGAGGGUGAAGGGGCCAAGGCGGCCUGAGGAAAGCCGCAUACCAUGACAAUGUUUUGUUAUGGGUCCCACUUUGGAGGGUGAAGCAGAGAGAUGCCGAAGGACACAUCCUGCCACACCACUGUAAGUGCAAAUGAGUCUGAGAAUCUGAUACUGAGUGCAGAACUGAGCAUCCAAAGAAUCUCAGCUUUCUUUCCUUCUUUUUUUUCCCCCUUUUAAAGGGCAAGUUCCUAGGACUUGUAUCCGAGAAAAUAGGCUGGAAAGCACAUGGGCCUUAUCUAGUGAAAUUUCCAGUGCCCAGCGUAAUUCAUUUCACACACACACACCCUAUGAUUAACAGAAGCUGAAUAACCUAUGCAAAUGAACAGAAUAUAUGCAAAAUUUGCGUGAGCUGCGUAAUUAACUGAGGAAGUGGAAUUAUUUUUUAGUAGUUUUUUUUUUUUUAAGCAGAGAGAGUUACGUGCAGGCCUGGCAAAUAAAGCUCUUUGCACAUGCUUAGAAGCACUUUUCUCUUGACAAAUCGCAGGACUGAUCGUCACUAGCAAACCCUAGUUAAUUAAGACCUACUUCUAACCCCACCUCAAGACAAGCCUGAACCCCUGUUCUGUUUGGGGGAUGCAGAUCAGAAGAAACAAACACUUUCUGAACUUGAUGAAGAAUGCAUUCGUGGAAGAUAUUUAAGAUUGGCUUCUGGCCAGUUGGAAUGAAUUUAAAAUGUGGCAGGAACUGUUUUAUAUUUCUGCAUAAGCAAAAUAAUUGACAUGAGAUAAUUCCACCCCACCCUGCCCCCUCCGAAGUGAGAUGCUAUACCUUAGGGGGCAAGAGGUAUGUUCAGCCAAGAGCACAAUCCCUUGUUUCCCUAUUUCCGUCUGUAGAAUCAGAUUGCUUAGAAGUGUAAUUUAUCAAUUUUGCAAUUUGUCAUGGCCAAAACAAAACAAAAAGACUAAAUAAAAAUGCAGCACGCAACACACACAUACACAUGUCCUUCUGCAGUAAAUGAACAGGAAACGCAGACAGUUUUUAAAAGGCAAGUGUUCUUACAUGCUCCUGGUUUAGCACGUGGUGCUGCAAAAGCUUUUGGUCGAGGACUUUUACAGCAACAGCCACUGGACAGAUGAGCUAAUUGGGACUGUCAAGAAAAUCUGUUGCCACUCUUUGAACUGAGUAGCUGUGCAUCAAGGCACUGAAAUCUGUGCAUCUUCUAAAGCAGCCCCCCUUGACCCAUAAAAUUGCCAGUUCAAAUAUUACGCUUUCAAUAAGCAAUUGGGGGGGUGAUUAAUCACCCAGUCAUCUUCUCAAGCACUUUCAUGUUGUGUUUCAAAACUGUGCCAUGCCAAACUGGACCAUGAAUCUGUGGUUACCUUUUAUAUAUAUAUAUAUUGAGGUGGGUAGGUAGCUCCUUACCACUGAGAUCACUUUUUGCUUUCAUGAAGAACAAGGGGCUGCUGUCGAUGACAGGUUGCAAUACAGCCAUAUCCCUCCUCCAAGGGGUAAAGAAACAUCCCUAUUGCUAUUAAGAUGUACACUCGUGAUUGGGAGCCCAGGCGGUUCAAUCGAUAUGUCCUUAAGAUCCCUCAUAACAGCACAUAAAAUUGUCAGGCUUCACGGAAGCAGCUCCCUCCCUCCCUUUGGCUGUGGAUAAGCAGAACAAAGCAAAAAAUAGUCUCUUAUCAUUUAAAGAGAUUUUAAUGAUCACAGCGAAAGUCCCUUGGCGGUAAAGGUGCUCCCAGUUAAGGUUUACACCCACUUCCCCCUGAGUCAUCCUUAUCACUUCCAUGUCUUGCAACCUGAUCUAACAACCACUGUGCCUUCUGUGCAGCUACCUUAUCUAAUCUCCUUGACCUUGGACUGAGCAGCUGGAAACUUUCCAGCAAACCGGAGUCUGUUAACUCUCUCUCUCCCAGUUCUUCUUCUCCUAACUGUUCACCACCCAGUUCUUCCCAACUUCGGUCUUCUGAACUAUGUCCCUCUGCGAACCACUGUUCCAAAUCUAUACUGUCCCACUGCUCCUGGGAAGAUUCAGGAUCCUCAUCAGGAGCGGGGAAGGGGAAGGCUCCCACCAUUCCUCAUCUGUGCAGCCCUCCUUAGGUAAAGGUAAAGGGACACCUGACCAUUAGGUCCAGUUGUGACCAACUCUGGGGUUGCGGCGCUCAUCUCGCUUUAUGGGCCAAGGGAGCCAGCGUACAGCUUCCGGGUCAUGUGGCCAGCAUGACUAAGCCGCUUCUGGUGAACCAGAGCAGCGCACGGAAACACCGUUUACCUUCCCGCCGGAGCGGUACCUAUUUAUCUACUUGCACUUUGACGUGCUUUUGAACUGCUAGGUUGGCAGGAGCAGGGACUGAGCAACCGGAGCUCACCCCGUCCUGGGGAUUCGAACCACCGACCUUCUGAUAGGCAAGUCCUAGGCUCUGUGGUUUAACCCACAGCGCCACCCGCGUCCUUAGCAUAGUCCCUGACAAAAAUGGACAGAGGCCUUGGUAUGCAGGUGAACUUUGUAGGCCCCCACUGCAGAGCCAAAGGGCAGCACCUUCUGGCCUCCACCCCUGGCCAGGUGACCAAGGACCACUGGGAGGUUACCCACCCCCACCCCUGACUUCCAGGAAGAACGUGAUGGCAAAGAGCAGGUGGGGACUACUGGUCACCAUCCAUCAACCAAAGAAGGAGCAGAUUCUGGGAAUAUGACUCCAAGAGCCAGCCGCCCCGCAACAGAAUAAAUGGGGAAAGAAGAUUCUCAUACCCUCUGAUGUUUCUCCGAUGAAAAUCAGAGUGUCCUAUUCCAAAGUAAUAAUAAUGAAGACAAUUUUAUUAUUUAUACAUCACCCAUCUGACUGGGUUGACCCAGCCACUCUGGGCAGCUUCCAACAUAUAUCAAAACAUACUAAAACAUUAAACAUUUUUUUAAUAAAAUCUCUACAGGGCUGAUUUCAGGUGUUUGUUAGAGUUUGUUGUUUUUGUUGUUAUUGGGGAUCACUUUCCUUGUGAUGUGAGGACGUAUGAUGUUUUUGUAAUACAGUGGUACCUCGGGUUACAGAUGCUUCAGGUUACAGACGCUUCAGGUUACAGACUCUGCUAACUCAGAAAUAGUACCUCGGGUUAAGAACUUUGCUUCAGGAUGAGAACAGAAAUCACACGGCGGCAGCGGGAGGCCCCAUUAGCUAAAGUGGCACCUCAGGUUAAGAACAGUUUCAGGUUAAGAACAGACCUCCAGAACAAAUUAAGUUCUUAACCCGAGGUACCACUAUGUCCCUUUGUGGCCAGAUUUGAGGCAGUAGAUCAAGUAGAAGCCCAGGGGUGGAUCUAGGGUAGUGUGACCAAUUCAGUCACACUGGGUGCAAAGUUUCUUGGACUUCCCAGCAAAUGCCACAACUAGGACAUACAAUGGAAGGCAAGAGACAGGAUUUUGGCACUUCACAGGGUGCCACUGAAAUUUGAGAUGCCAAGGUCUGCCACUGGUGAUAGCUCUAAACCCCAAACAGCACCAAUCACACACCCCUAAGGACCUGUGCACCCUCUGUAUGUAUUUGAUUAUAUAAAUGCAAAAUUAUACUCCAUAUAUUCCCAAAGUUUUCACAAAACCUAGAAACAGAACCAAGAGAAAUGAUUAAAGUAGCAUGGAAAACUUGCCUACUUAGUUUUCCUCCUUUCUAGCCCACUAUAAGAGAUCGUUCUAGAUAAAUGAAAAACAAUAUUGUAUAUUUGGGUAGGCUGAUCUGCUUCUGCGAUAAUCAAUGAAGCAUUCCCGGUUUUAAUUAAAUUUGUCGCUUCUCUGCUUACUUUCUCAUUCUGAUGUAUGCUAGUUUUGCCAUAAGAGCUUAUUCCCAUAAUUUGCCCACCAUCAAUACGGAAAGAAUUGUACGCAGCCUCCAACUCAUUGCAUAAAAUAUUCUGGCUGCUGUGGUCAUAUAUGCGCCUAGCGCUUGAUGCGUUUCCUUAACAAAGGCAACCUCCUCAGGCCACACACACAUGCUCCCAAGCCAUGCCCACUGCCAGCCCUGCUUGGCAGCCUCCUCGAAUAUUUUUGCCUGGUCGGAAGGUGUACUUGAACUGUCAUCAUGCUUCUUGGGUAACAGGGCAGGAUGGAAUAUAUAAAUUUAAAAAUAAAAAAAAUUGUCCAGUAGCACCUUAGAGACCAACUAAGUUUGUUCUUGGUAUAAGCUUUUGUGUGCAUGCACACUUCUUCAGAAAGCACACGAAAGCUUAUACCAAGAACAAACUUAGUUGGUCUCUAAGGUGCUACUGCCCCUCACCCCAGAAGGUUGUCUGGAAAGGAAUGCGGUCCUUGGCCUCUUUGUUGUUUAGUCAUUUAGUCGUGCCCUACUCUUCGUAACCCCAUGGACCAAAGCACGCCAGGCACUCCUGUCUUCCACUGCCUCCUGCAGUUUGGUCAAACUCAUGCUGGUAGCUUCGAGAACACUGUCCAACCAUCUUGUCCUCCAUCAUCCCCUUCUCCCUGUGCCCUCAAACUUUCCAAACAUCAGGGUCUUUUCCAGGCAGUCUUCUCUUCAAAUGAGGUGGCCAAAGUAUUGGAGCCUCAGUUUCAGGGUCUGUCCUUCCAGUGAGCACUCUGGGUUGAUUUCCUUCAGAAUGGAUAGGUUUGAUCUUCUUGCAGUCCAUGGGACUCUCAAGAGUCUCCUCCAGCACCAUAAUUCAAAAGCAUCAAUUCUUCGGCGAUCAGCCUUCUUUAUGGUCCAGCUCUCACUUCCAUACAUCACUACUGGGAAAACCAUAGCUUUAAUUAUACGGACCUUUGUUGGCAAGGUGAUGUCUCUGCUUUUUAAGAUGCUGUCUAGGUUUGUCAUUGCUUUUCUCCCAAGAAGCAGGCGUCUUUUAAUUUCAUGACUGCUGUCACCAUCUGCAGUGAUCAUGGAGCCCAAGAAAGUAAAAUCUCUCGCUGCCUCCAUUUCUUCCCCUUCUAUUUGCCAGGAGGUGAUGGGACCAGUGGCCAUGAUCUUCAUUUUUUUGAUGUUGAGCUUCAGACCAUAUUUUGCACUCUCCUCUUUCACCCUCAUUAAAAGGUUCAUUCUCUCUCUCUCUCUCUCACACACACACACACACACACAGGCAGACUACAAAAAUGGGGUUUGGAUACCCAGUUGUUAAGUUGUAGAAUGAGCCAAUCACAAAACUCAGCAUCUCAAGUUCCUCUGUUUUACAGGAUGUAGUGCUGUGCUUAAGGCUGCAAUCCUAAAAACACACUAAGGAAGGAUCUCCUUCAAACACAGUGGGACUUUCUGCGGGUCAACCUGGACAGAGUUUCAGUACUGUAUGUGCUGUGAGCUGGGAAGUUCUCUGCUGAAAUCUGAGCUCAGCUACAAAUCUCGCCAGGUGGUCUAAGCACCUUCAUUUUCUCCUUCCCUGCCACACCUAUAGUACUGUAGUGUUUUACAGGGUUGUUGUAAGUGCGGAUUGAUUUUUGAGGGUGCAUUGUCUCAGCAAUCCUUAACAUUAAAAGUUAAGCACUGUUGUUUACUUUUCUACCAGCGGAAGUAACAAAGGGCCUCUCUGCUAGGGCAAUGUGUUGAAAUUAAUACUUCUUACUGGUGUUAAAGUUGAUAAUCCUAAAUCAGGAGUGCUGACAGGUUUGGUCUCAAGCUCAUUGCACUCAUGGCUUGCUGCCAAGAGGCUGGCAGCCUUCCUGGCAAUUGCUGCAGAGGGAAUGCCGGAAAGGCGAGUGUGGCUUGCUAAGCCAGCCAUCCUCCCAAAUGAGCACUCCUGUGAAUUUGGCAAUGCAGUUCUCUGGCCAAAUCAUGUGUCCAGAGAUGCAUGUACAAGGGCAAAGUGUGAUGAUAUAAACAACAUACAGAAAGGGUUGCUACAGGAAAUUGUUUUGUAGAAAGAUGUAUAUCAGAAAAUCAAUUGCAUAGCAAAGUGUGUACAUUGGCUCCCAGUACGUUUCCGAGCACAAUUCAAAGUGUUGGUGCUGACCUUUAAAGCCCUAAACGGCCUCGGUCCUGUAUACCUGAAGGAGUGUCUCCAUCCCCAUCGUUCAACCCGAGCACUGAGGUCCAGCACCAAGGGCCUUCUGGCGGUUCCCUCACUGUGAGGAGCGAGGUUACAGGGAACCAGGCAGAGGGUCUUUUUGGUAGUGGCGCCCACUCUGUAGAUCGCCCUCCCAUCAGAUGUCAAGGAAAUAAACAACUAUCUGACUUUUAGAAGACAUCUUAAGGAAGUCCUGUUUAGGGAAGUUUUUAAUGUCAAUUGUUUUAUAGUGCCUUUAAUAUUCUGCUGGGAGCCACCCAGAGUGGCUGGGGAAACCCAGUCAGAUAGGCAGGGUAUAAAUGUUGUUUAGUUUUUAGUCGUGUCUGACUCUUUGUGACCCCAUGGAGCAGAGCACACCAGGCACUCCUGUCUUCCACUGCCUCCCACAGUUUGGUCAAACUCAUGCUGGUAGCUUCGAGAACAAAUAAUUCCAGAAUUAUUAUUAUUAUUAUUAUUAUUAUUACUAUUAUUACUAUUGGAAAUUCAAAGUAAAAUAUUGAUGGACAUUCUGAAGGACUAUUUUCUUGAAGAAAUGCAAAGUGAGCUAAACAAGACUGGAAAAAAUGAGAAACAGAAUAAACAAAAUUUCCAAAGGACCUAUGGCGACCAUAAGUAGACUCAAGAAGGGUUCAGAGGAGCAGCAUAAGGUUCAGUAGCAGUGUACAAAUGCAGCCAGAAGAAGAAGAAGAAGAAGAGUUUGGAUUUGAUAUCCCGCCUUUCACUCCCUUUAAGUAGUCUCAAAGCGGCUAACAUUCUCCUUUCCCUUCCUCCCCCACAACAAACACUCUGUGAGGUGAGUGGGGCUGAGAGACUUCAGAGAAGUAUGACUGGCCCAAGGUCACCCAGCAGCUGCAUGUGGAGGAGUGGAGACGCGAACCCGGUUCCCCAGAUUACGAGACUACCGCUCUUAACCACUACACCACACUGGCUCUAGAACGUUAAACACACACACACACACUUAAAUUGCAACAUAUUAUAAGAAUCCUGGGAAGCGAAGUGGGGACAGAGCUUCCUUAAAAAAAAAAAAGUGGGGGAGAUGGCAGUACAGUGGUACCUUGGUUCUCAAACUUAAUCAGUUCCAGAAGUCCGUUCCAAAACCAAAGCGUUCCAAAACCAAGGCGUGCUUUCCCAUAGAAAGUAAUGCGAAAUGGAUUAAUUUCUUCAAGACUUUUAAAAACAAUCCCUAAAACAGCAUGAAUUUUAUGAAUUAACAUGAAAUAAUUCAUGAAUUAACAUGAAUUUUACUAACGAGACCAUUGAUCCAUAACAUGAAAGCAAUAAUCAAUGUACUGUACUAUAAAAUAAAUUAGACAGUAUUGUAGAUGAUUUUAAAAAAAAAAUUUAAAAAUUCUUACCUGCACUGAUGAUAGUCAUUGUUUGGAUAGGGGGCUUUUAUCCAUUUCCACAGUCACACAAUCAAUCAAUCAAUCAAUCAAUCAAUAGCGUCAAAAACAAAAACGCAAAAUAAAUAGCAAAAACAAAAGCGCCAAACUUAAUCUGUUCCAGAAGUCCAUUUGACUUCUGAAAUGUUUGAAAACCAAGGCACAGCUUUCUGAUUGGUGCAGGCACCCCAGAAACAAUAGCCAACAACUGCAUCAGAUGUUCAGCUUCCGAAAAAUGUUUGAAAACUGGAACACUUACUUCCGGGUUUUCAGCAUUUGGGAACCAAGGCGUUUGAGUACCAAGGCGUUUGAGAACCAAGGUACCACUGUACUCAGGCUAGGAUAGGAAGUGUGCUGUGUGGCUUGGCAGGGAGCCCUGCCCUCUAAUUUAUUUGUUUGUGGGGGUAGGCUACAGUUGCUUGAAAGAUAGAUGAUAGAUAGAUGGUAGAUAGAUGGUAGACAGACAGACAGACAGACAGAUAAACAUUUGACCCCGCCCCUUGUAAUUACCACACAACCUGCUUCUUAUACAGUGGUACCUUGAUCUAUGAACUUAAUCCGUUCCAGAAGUCCGUUCUUAAACCAAAGCCAUUCUUAAACCGAGGUGCGCUUUCCUUAAUGAGGCCUCCUGCCACCAGUGCCCUUCCACCAUUCGGCUUCUGUUUGUAAACCAAGGUAAAGUUCGCAAACCGGGACACCUACUUCUGGUUUUGCGGAGUUCAUAUACAGUGGUACCUCGCAAGACGAAUGCCUCGCAAGACGAAAAACGCUUUUCGUUUUUUGAGUUGCUUCGCAAGAUGAAUUUCCCUAUGGGCUUGCUUUGCAAGACGAAAAAUGAAAACGUCUUGCAAGUUUGUUUCCUUUUUCUUAAAACCGUUAAUACCCUAUGGGAAACCGUGCUUCGCAAGACGAAAAAUUCGCAAGACGAAAAAACUCGCGGAACGAAUUAAUUUCGUCUUGCAAGGCACCACUGUACCAAAUAAUUCGUUAACGGGGUUGUUCUUCAACUGAAGUACCACUAUAUGGGCUAGCUUUUUAACUGUGAAGCUGCAAAGGGGUGGCCUGUUGUUAUACGAAGACUGAAUGAGGAGCAUUUUAGUUUACAACUGUGUUUGGCCGGUGGGUUUGCAAAGCUGCUGCGUGGUUUUCAGGCUGAUCAUAUGAUAUCAAUUAACAACACGUAUUCUGAGCCAAAGCUCUUUAACCUCAUUACAUGUAUCAUCCAGUGCGGAAUUUCUCCACAGAGUCUUGUAAUGCCAGCUCCUGGUAGUACGGAGGCUAAAAACAAUGGAAGAUUAGCAAAGAUCCCUGCUCAGUUACCAGUAGCUGCAAAGAGCUUGACUACUUAUUCCCCUUUUUACUCUGCAUUUCAAGUAUUAAUCCCCUCAUAGUUGUUUAUACUUUUUUUACUGUUAAUGAACUGGAGGCAAAGCAUUUUACCUACCAAGAAGUUAGUAAUAAUUAAGGUUGCUGGGGCCAUUAUAUUUUAAGCCUGCCAUUAUAAAUAUGCAUAAACCAUGCACUUCUGAAAACCCAACCAUUCAGAUAUGUGGUGGCAUCAAGUUCACAGUCUUCCUGCCUAGCUUGGCCUUAAGGAAUGACAGUGUCAUUUCUAUACAUAUAACAUCCACUAAUACAUAGCUGUCAAGCGUCCCUUAUUUGGCGGGAAAGUCCCUUAUCCCAGCGCCGUGUCCCGCUGUUGUCCCUUAUUGAUGAUGUCCCUUAAAUUUCCUGGGUUUCAAAGGAAGCAGCUCCUCUCCCUCCCUCCCUGCUGGCCAGGAAGGAGGGAGGCUCCAACUGGGUCGCUUGGCUGCGUUGCUCACCCAAUAAGGAGUCUAAGAACAACUGGGGGGUGGAGCUUGCAUGCCUUGUGCCAAUCAAAUUGGCCGCGUUGCCUAGGGACUCACCAUUGCUCAGCGCUUCCCAGCGGAGAGGUGACGGUGGUUUCCCUUGCUGCAUCCCCUUUGCCGGCUUGCUGUGCUGUGGGAACCACCGCUUGAGGCUUCGUUUGGCUGCUGGCUGUGCUUUCUGCCUUUGGCCGGAGGGGCUCAGAAGUUGAACAUAUCUGUGCUUGGAAAAUCCCUUAUUUUGGCUGCUGAUCCCUUACUGUAUUUUCAAAUCUGUAACUUGACAGCUAUGCACUAAUAUAACAUCCACUGAGAUCAACGAGUGUGCAGGAUUGUAGCCUAAGCUGUGUAGCAUGGACACCACUUCUCCCUGCAAAUGCACUGAGUGCAUUUUCUUCUUCUUUGCAAAGCACUGCCAGACCAGCAGGAAGUUACAGGUUGGGCACUAACUGGAAACGGGGCAGUGUGACCGCUCCAAAACAUUUGCAGCUGCAAACAAUAUUGAAUUAGAGGUUUUGGGCAAAGUGCCAUCACUCAGUAAUGUUGCACUCCAACCCCAAUGUCCAAGUGGUGCAAGAUUCCAGACACUUACCCAAAGUUGUUGUUUCCUUUUUUGAAUGAGAGACAGCACAAGCUGCGGCGUCUUUAGGAUAUAUGGCUUAUCUACACAUAUAUACGGGACGCGGGUGGCACUGUGGGUUAAACCACAGAGCCUAGGACUUGCCGAUCAGAAGGUCGGCGGUUCGAAUCCCCGCGACAGGGAAGGUAAAUGGCAUUUCUAUGCGCUGCUCUGGUUCGCCAGAAGCGGCUUAGUCAUGCUGGCCACAUGACCCAGAAGCUAUACGCCGGCUCCCUCGGCCAAUAAAGCGAGAUGAGGGCCGCAACCCCAGAGUUGGUCACGACUGGACCUAAUGGUCAGGGGUCCAUUAAUACUGUCCAUUAAUACUAACAAACCGUAUCUCCCAUUCAUCUCUCAGAUCCCCUUGUAAAUCUAAAGUACUGACCUCACCACAUCCUGCGGUAAAAAAAUUCCCCAAGUUAAUUACACAUUAUGUGAAGGUAAGUGUGUGAAGCUACAACAUUCCUACUAUCAGCUUAAGUGACACAUUCAUUCUCUCUCUCUCUCUCUCUCUCUCUCACACACACACACACACACACACACACAGUGUAGAGCCCCUCUGAGCCAAAGGCCCAAAGGCAGAAAGCCCAGCCAGCAGCCAAAUGAAGCCUCAAGCGGUGGUUCCCACAGCGCAGCAACCCAGCAAAGGGAUACAGCAGCAAGGAAAACCACACAGUCACCUCUCCGCUGGGAAGCGCUGAAGCAAAGGCGAGCCCCCAGGCAACGCAGCCAAUUUGAUCGGCACAAGGCAUGCAAGCUCCACCCCCCCAGUCAUUCUCAGACUCCUUAUUGGUGAGCAACGCAGCCGAGCAACGCAGUUGAGGAACCUCCCUGGCCGGCAGGGAGGGAGAGGAGCUACUUCCUUUGAAAUCCGGGAAAUUUACGGGAUAUCAACAAUCCGGGAUAGCAGCGGGAAAAGGCGCUGGAAUAAGGGAGUUUCCCACCAAAUAAGGGAAGGUUGACAGCUAUGUGGGGAGUGUCCUGGGGGGGGUGCCGCCUGCACCAAUGUCAUCCCCCUCAGGGAUGACACCCGGGGAAGACCACACUCACCUUGCUCCACCUCUGUCUGUCGCGCAGGUUGAAACCCAUUUAGUUCAUUAGGGAGCAGUGGUAAAGAGUGCUCCUGCAGGUUCCUAACCAUCUUAUGAUGGAAGGCCAUCAGUGACAAAUGUGAAAUUCUAACUGCAGAGCUGAAUUUGUCAUUCUGACUUGAUCAGCGGCUGGACUCCCAAUUGCUUGCCUUUUCCUCUAAUUCCUGGCUUUUCCAGCAGACAAUUCUCUUCCCAAUACAAAACAGGGAGCAAAAAAUCUGAACACCGCCCCCCCCCCCGGUUUUGCUGUGAAAUGGAUUGUUCACCUUUGCACCCAUAUAACUGCCUUUUUGUCAUGGCUCCCAUCUGCCUUCUCCACACUCUGUUACUCCAUUUUUAUGGUAACUCGUUUAAAAUGAAGACAAGUUGUAUUAAUAACGUAUAUCAAUCCGGAAGACUUAAUCUUUCACUCUUUUUUUCCUCUUUUUUUUUUACAAGUCUGCCUUAUUCAGACAUAAGCUGAUAAGAUUACAAGUGCUAAAACAAUCUGUGAAAUGAUGCAUGGACUUUUAAGCAAAUUAAUAAGCGCCUUGGAGCAAUGAUAUAUAUAAUCAGUGAAGCACCUGAAUCUUUCACAGUAGAUAGAGCCUCAAAGGGCCUUUUUUAUCUGUUUAAUUAUAGUGAAAGGGAUAAAUUGUUGGCUUUGCUGGGAGGAAAGAGCCAACUUAAAACAUGCAGUCUGGGGAAUUUCUUUUAGAGAAUACACUUCCUGCACUCUUAAAUAUUAAAGUUUGAUGCUUUAAUAUUUAACCAAUGGACAGUCCACUGAGACACCUAUUUCAUUUCCACUGGGGUCUCGAGACAAGCUUCAGCUAGUUUUAAUAGACAUCACACAUUUUUUAAAAAAUAGGCACCGUUAAGUCACCGUUCAGCUAAGAGCCAUGGGGUACAAUAAGCUGUGUGGGUCAAAAGCACAGGUCCUAGAGGAACCGCUGAAGUAGAACUGUGUCUUUGUUAUUAAUCCAGAAAUUGCAUUUUUGAACAUAUAUUGCUGACUGUAUAAGUCUCCUUUUUUUUCCCCUCUCCCCUCGUGGUAAUUUCCUCUCACAAACAAGACUUGCCCUUUUUAUUUUUAUUUUGUUUCCCCACAAAGCCACCCUUUAAGCUCAUUUCCAGCUGGCAUUUUAUAGAAAUCCGAAUGGCUGUGGUCAGGCUGGCUCUGUGUGUUCGUGCCACUGCUCAUAUUAGACACCUCUAAUAAUGCUCCUCAACUGGAUGCGACUUGGACGUGACCCUCUUUACGAAUGCAAGGUAACUUCACUAGGGCCUUUUGAAGGCAGACUGUCGGGUCAAACUGAGGCAGUUUAGGUGUGAUGCUUGUGACUGACUGUCAUCCAGAGGGGAAUGUAAGCUCCAUAUCUCCCACUCCCGCCAGGACCUUGCUGCCUAAAGGAGCAAGCAGCUAUCCUAUUUUUAAAAGACAUCUGAAGGCAGCCCUGUUUAGGGAAGUUUUUAAUAUUUAACGCUGUAUUGUUUUUAACACUCGAUUGGGAGCCGCCCAGAGUGGCUGGGGAAACUCAGCCAGAUGGGCGGGGUAUAAAUAAAUUAUUAUUAUUAUUAUUAUUAUUAUUAUUAUUAUUAUUGACUUGCACUACUAGGGCAUGGGUAGCAAUGUUCUUUUCUACAUUUCUAGGCAGAACCGUAAGGCGCAAUGCAGAGAGUGGUGGUAGACAAUGCACAUCACAACAGCAUUUCCAUUUCUACAUCUGGAAAAUGGUUGCUUCCAAAACUUCUUCUCAAAAUCCUCCGCACACAAAUUUCUGAAUGUAAAAUAGUCUCCAAAUAUUGUCUAUUUGCAAAAUAUUUGGGAUCUAAUUUGACAUUCUGAUUGCUGGUAUUUAGUAUCUAACUUGACACGUGGCAUCAUCUGGCUUCAUUACUGACAAUCGAUAUUUGAGAGGAUUCGAAAGUAGGCAUGGAAUAGCAGUUAGCAUUUGAUGGCUGACAUGCAAUAGUCUGUAGUAUUAAACAGUACAGUGGUACCUCGGGUUAAGUACUUAAUUCGUUCCAGAGGUCCGUUCUUAACCUGAAACUGUUCUUAACCUGAAGCACCACUUUAGUUAAUGGGGCCUCCUGCUGCUGCCACGCUGCCGGAGCCCGAUUUCUGGUCUUAUCCUGAAGCAAAGUUCUUAACCUGAAGCACUAUUUCUGGGUUAGCGGAGUGUGUAACCUGAAGCGUGUGUAACCUGAAGCGUAUGUAACCUGAGGUACCACUGUAUUUUGAAGUUGGCAUAAAAUGAUAUUCAAUGUUCCAGCAUGAAUUUUAGUUUACUGCAUUUUUAUUGCCUUUCUAGAAUACUUUUUACAUGUUUUUUAAAAUGUUGCCAUUUUUGAAAUUGCUAGCCAUUUCUUUUUUCUUUCUCAUACAGCUGUGAAGGACCCCCACUAGCAAGCAAUGAAAACUUGCAGUGCAGUGCUAGCAGGCUUAAUAUGUGAGCAUGCUGGAGAUUUAGGGUAUCUUGGUAAUAUUUGCAUUCUUUACAUCUAUAUAAGCAGAGGCAUGCAAACUCCUAUAAGCAGACUGCAGAGUCUCAAAGACCAUCUCCGAAGGCUUGCACCCCUAGUUCCAGCUAAUUCCAGCUGUGAACUCUUAGGACCAAACUAGAUUUCAUUUAAUACUUAGUGGGCAAUUAAUACCUUCUUUUCCCCAAAACAAUUACAAUUGCAGGGGAUCAUGGUUCUGCAGGUAAAUUGCCCACACAGAGCUAGGAGAAGUUAAUAGUCUUUUGUCAGAUCCCCAGCCGCUCGUCCAUGGUGACAAGGUGGUCAAAAGCUUGCAACAAUAUGUUUUUUUCUACAGCACUUUAUGUAUUUCUAAUAGAAAAGCCAUUUAGAAACAUUAUAAAUAAAUAAUAUCAAAAUAAAUGGUCGGACCGCAAACAGUAGUUUGCACUCCCUCCGCUAAAUCGGCCUCAUCUAUCUCACAGGGGCUUUGAAAGCUGGUCUACUUGCCUUUGUUCUUGUCAGUUUCACCUUCCUUGGGAUUUGCUGAACAUUCUCCUUUGUAGGCACCUCCACAAGUCCUGAGUUUACAAGAUCUAAGCAGGCAUGUGAAGCAGUUGCUCUCCUACUAGCUGAUCAAAAUAAACCUUAGGAAAUCUAAGCUGCUGUUCCGAAGCAGAUCCUAUUGUCAGGCCUCAACUUCUCUAGAAGUUUAUUUUUGCUUGAUUCUAACUGGUUCGUCUCUAAGCAGAUUUUGCAAGACCUUGACUCAUUUCCAAAUUCUAAACUUGAGCUGCUAGAUGGGAUGCCCUUUGCCAAGAAGCCAAGUGCAAGAUGUCAGUAUCAGAACUUUACAAACCAAACAUAAUGAUAUGAAGCAAGCUAUUGUUCAGUUUUACAACAUAGCAGUACAGUGGUACCUCGGGUUAAGAACUUAAUUCGUUCCAGAGGUCCGUUCUUAACCUGAAACUGUUCUUAACCUGAAGCACCACUUUAGCUAAUGGGGCCUCCUGCUCCCACUCCCGCUGCGCCACCGCUGCACAAUUUCUGUUCUCAUCCUGAAGCAAAGUUCUUAACCCGAGGUAAUAUUUCUGGGUUAGCGGAGUCUGUAACCUGAAGCGUCUGUAACCCGAGGUACCACUGUAUAUGUAUGUGUCCUUUUAGUAAUAUGAUUGGAAUGGAGGCCAAUGUUAAAUUGUUUUGUCACUUUUUUUGGCUUUUCUUGUAUUAUAGGUUAAACCACAUAAGAAAGGGAAGAACAGUAGGACCAAAAAUGACAAAGAAACCAAGAAAAGGUCAUCAUCAUCAUCAUCUUCAAACUGGAGGCGGAUGAAUAAUGUAUUGAUGUGAAAACAAAUGUCCAACGUUUUUCCAUAAUUAUAUUAUAUCUUCUAUAGGAGGGACAUAUGGUGGAGGUUACAGGAAUAUGACAAUCAGUUGUCAUUGACUGUAUUAAAUACACUUGAUCAAAUGUGUAUGUAUAGGCUAGACAGACUUUGGUUCUAUUGUCGUCAUGUUUCAUCAAAGUAAGGACCCAGUUUUACUUGGCCUCAGUGAGUCUACCAAAUAUUAAUCAAAAUGUCAUAAAAAUGUUGCCAGCUCUAAUACACACCUGGAAUAUAAUUUUGUUUUCAAAUGUUAGGCAUGUGAGACAAACAUUCCAUGUUGAAAUAUUAUCUCUUUCUUUGGUUUUGCAACCAACCAACCCUCAGGCUGUGUCCGUGCCAGGGUUUUAAUACAUAUGUAAGUUACAGAGAUAGUUUGUUUUUUCCCCCAUGUGUGUUUUUGUUCACUCUCAUAUACAAAGGAGCACUUUAAAACUUAUCACUCCCAAAUCUAUCUUGAUGUUUCCCAUCCGUACUAGUGGGAAGUUCUUGAUGGGAUAUAUUUGUUGUGUGUGCUCUUGUCCUCCCUCCUCAAUUUCUCCUUCCCCGCCCUCCAGAAUAUCCAUAAACCUGAGCAUAAGUAACUUUGACUCCACAAGGUCAUCAUGUGGAUGAAAUGAGCCCACAGAAUGUGGCAACCCACUAAAAAAAAUCCAGUUGUGCAAAAUUCCUUUCUGCUCUCCUACCUAUCCUGCAGAGAAGAAUUACCACUGAAAUCUGUUUAAACUGAAAAUUCAAGGUGAAUUUGAGGGUUUCCACUUGGCUGUAACGUCCAAAGAAUUUCAAAGGAAGCAAAAAUAGUUUAAAAAAUAACAUCAAUGACAUUUCAGGGUAGUGGGAUUAUGGUGUAUUGAGGCAUAUAACGUUGAAAUAGCAGUGAUGACAAUAUAAACAGUGGCAUCAUCUUGAAAUAGUAUCUUGUAAUGCAGCCCGAACUAUAGAUGACUAACUGGUCAGACACCAGGUGGCAAUAUUAAUUGGGUUAUCGCAUAACUGCGAGAAGAAACCCUGCCAAUUGUGCCAAGACCUGUUCAAGGAACAUGGACUCUGUCCAGAGUUGCCAGGGCUAUAUUUGAAAACCUCCAGGUCUGUGCUUUGUUGCUUGAUGUCAGAAUUGGCUGCAAAUUUCUGGGGUCCACCUGGUGAGCUUCCUUUAUGCUGUUGGGAUCUACCAUGCCAGCCCCAGCCACCCAUGUUGGCAGGCAGCCUCUUUUUCCCUCCUCUCUGCUUUAUUUCUAUGAGAAAUGUGGGCCUACUACUUUGAUGAAUGCCAGGAGAUUGCCAUUGUAAUUCCCCAUGGUGUCCAUAGCUGUCAACCGUCCCUUAUUUGGCGGGAAACUCCCUUAUCCCAGCACCGUGUCCCUUAUUGAUGAAGUCCCUUAAAUUUCCCGGGUUUCAAAGGAAGCAGCUCCUCUCCCUCCCUCCCUGCCGGCCAGGGAGGAGGGAGGCUCCAACUGUGUUGCUUGGCUGCCCCGCCCGCCCCCCGUCGGCCUCCUCUCACCAGCCUCAGCCCCUGGGAGCCCCUCCCUGCCGGGACUGGCGGGAGCCUCGGGCCCUUCCGCCACUAUCCUCCUCGCGGCUGCCAAACUGAGUGUCUCUGCCUGGGGCCUCCCUUCUGCUCGUCGCUGCCGCUCCUGCUAGGCCAUACUGCAGCUACGCCACCGAAGGACCCAGAUGAGAUGGGCAGCCUGGCAUGGCCUAUGAGUUGCUGAGGAGCCUUGAGAGGAGAGCGAGGGCAACCAUAGAGAAAGCAGUUCAGAGAGAGGAGGCAGAGGUGGAGGUGCAGGCAGGUCUUCCAAGGGCUAACCAUAGAGGGGGGGAGAAGCGAAAAGUGGUUGCUGCUUGUAGUUAUUUAAUUACAGUGUUUCAUCAGCUGGUGUCUUGAGCAGCAACCUCUGGAAACAAAGGGCUAAAAACCGGCGCUGCUCUCCAAAAUUAUCUGCUCCUUUUUAACAUCAUAUUUCAGCUGGUUGACUAAAAUCCCUUAUUUUUGAGGCUGCUGGUCCCUUAUUUUCAAAUCUGUAAGUUGACAGCUGUAAUGGUGUCACUCCAGGGCAUUGUGGGUAAUUACAAUGGCAGCCACCUGGAAAGGCGACUCAGGCCACAGCUACAUUAAGCCUCAACUGCUGCAUGAGGAUUGCACCUACUGAAACACGCCUGUCCAUUGUGGUGACACAUUCAUGGCAGUGGACGGAAAGGCACUCAAGGCUAUGAACUUAUCCCAGGGGUCCAUCUAAAUCACCUUUGCUUUCCCUCUGACCUGGUAGGGCUAUAACAGCGUAGCCCAGGGGUCUGCAACCUUUAAGACAAAAAGAGCCACUUGGACCCGUUUCUGAAGGGAAAAAAACUGGGAGCCGCAAAAUUCAUCAUUAUAAAAAUAACUUUUUUGUCACUUUUUUAUUAUUUCUUUGUUUGACCCCUCAGAAUUACUCCUCCUCAUAGAAAUAGACGUUAAAUUAACAAGUUACCUUUUUGUGUGUGUGUGUUCUUCACUCCCCUUCAAAACAGUGACCAGCGUACAUGCCCCUUACAAUGUAGCGGGCGGGCGGGAAGGUGACGUCGGGACGGUGCAUGACUAACGCACACACCGCCCCCAUGCGACGUCACAGCCAGUACAGCGCCCGCCACAGUGGGGAGUGUCAGGGCGCACAAUGCGCCUCCUCCCCUCGCUAGUAUCCGCCCCGGAGCCACGGCAAAGGUGUAAAAGAGCCACAUGCGGCUCCGGAGCCACGGGUUGCAGACCCCUGGCUUAGCCUUUACAUAGGCAAAAGUAUUACCCUGAAGUAUUUAAGGCUUAAGAGACACCACCACAGCACAUUUCUCAAUGAACUUUAAUAAUAACCUCGACCUGGCACCUCAACGGCCAUCGCUUCCUUUGGGGCUAGUAUGGGCGGACUGUUACAUUAACCAAACAUGGCCUACCUAUAGCUAAUUGUCUUGCUUUGUGACAAUGCCAUCCAAUUAGGGAAAUGCCUCUUGCCACCGAGAAGCCAUUUGUCUCUGUUGCUGCGCCCCUUACCUCUGCUCUCUGAGCAGUUGAAGCAUUCAGUCUGAGACAUUCUGAGAGCGCUCUGUGUGUGAUACACUGAAAACCCAACCUUCAUGCAUCACUACCCCCUGGGUGUUACAUGCCUCACCGCCUCACACAAAAGGCCCAUUUUCAGUGUGACCAUGCAUACGUGAUUCCUUCUAAAAUAUGUACAGCCAGGAGAUAUGCCUUGUGUUUCUUGGCAAAACCUCCUGGCCUUGCUUUAAGUUAAGGUCACAACAGCUGAUUCAAGAGCCAGCAUAUCAAUCAAUUUAAAAUAUCUUCUCCAGGGAAGCCAUUUUACAAAAAUAGAGCAUUCUAUAUUCAUAUCUUUGUUUCAGAUUCUUCUUCUCAUUACAAAUGAUCUGUUUUACAGCCUGGCCUAGUGGCUAUCAAACUUUCGGCCAUCAGGAAACGUUCCCCACAUUGACUUGUCCUCUGAGGAGGCCAUAACGCCACUGUUUAUCCAGGGAAAUUGGCAAAUCUGGUGGGUCUAGAUGCGGCCUUGUACAAACUGAUGGAGCAGGAGAAGAUUAGUAAUUACAUUCAGUCUGUUUUUCAAGGAAGGGUCAUCCAUCAGGAAAGCUUGUUCUUAUUGGAGAACACCUAGUAAGCUUUAUUGGAGAACACCUGAGAGCCAGUGUGGUGUAGUGGUUAAGAGCGGUAGAUUCGUAAUCUGGUGAACUGGGUUCGAUUCCCCGCUCCUCCACAUGCAGCUGCUGGGUGACCUUGGGCCAGUCACACUUCUCUGAAGUCUCUCAGCCCCACUCACCUCACAGAGUGUUUGUUGUGGGGGAGGAAGGGAAAGGAGAAUGUUAGCCGCUUUGAGACUCCUUAGGGUAGUGAUAAAGCGGGAUAUCAAAUCCAAACUCUUCUUCUUCUUUAAAAUUGCUGUGAAACUCAUAGGGAGCAAUUCAACCAAAGGGAUGAGAGUCCAACUCAACUCACACCAAAAUCAAUGGGAUUUACAUCAGCCAUGACUAAGUCCCAUUCCAUCAUUAUUGGUGACUAAGCCAAAGGUCACCAAGUCGCUUUCCAUGGUAGAGGGAUGGAUACAGUCACAGACUCUUCUCGUUUCCACCAUUGCCCAGUUUGAAUCAAGGCUACAACAGAAAGGUCUUAGAGGCCGUUAAGAAAGAACCAAUUGCCAGCAACCAGAGACAGGACUGUUUUCAUGGUAGGCCUACAUCUCUGGAAUUGCCUCCCCAAAUAUCUCCCUCAAGCCCCUUCUCCGGCUGUUCCAAACAGCCCACAAAGAUUCAUUUGGUUCCUUUAGUCUUCUCUUGAACGACUUUAUGUUGACGUAUUCUUGUUUUUAACCACUUGGUUUUAUAUUGUGUUGUUAAAUGAAUGAAUGAAUUUAUUUGUUGUUACGACCAUCACAGUCAUUUCAACCACCACUAAAAAAGAGAUAUACAUACUAUACAAAAUUUACAUAGAUACACCAAUACAAGGCAGCAUCACCAUACACACACACACACACACACACACACAGAGCGAAGUCAUUUUCUAUAAUUCACUGCAUAUAAUUGUGUUGCUAUAUUUUGUUAUAUUUUUAAUUAUUUAGUUCCGUACUUCCUUAUGAAGACUGGAUCCUGAAAGGUGUGGCAGGUCUGUCUAAACCAAGUGUGGGGAGAACCUCAGGCCCUGAGCCAAAAGCUGCUCACAUGGCCUCUCUGUCUGGCCCUGGCGUUCUCUGCAAGCCGCACCCCUCACAGAUGCUGACCGGCACUCUCCUUGUGCUGUUGAAUUGCGAGAACUCUGCUAAUGCCUCUGGCUUGCCUGAAUGGAGAGACGUGGGGCAUGCAUGUGCCAAAACCUCUGAACUGGUGUGGUUGGGAAUGUAGUCUAUUGAACAAAGAUGAGGCGUCACAUCCAUUGUUCCACCCACUUGUUCCAUCUCACCUUAUCUACCACUGGUAUGUGGUCCCCAGAAGUUUGCCCAUGACUGAAUGUGGCCUUCGAACAGUACAUUUUUUCUUUAAAAAAUGUUUAGGGGUACUCUCAUUUUGAUUCAAGAAAACCACCAUUUUAUAAUUCAAAUUGGGAAAAACAAAUACAGUAAACGGACAAAAGUACCAAGAACAUGCAUUACCUCAUAUUACACAGUUGACAGCUCACAAUAACUUCCACAUUGGCAUGAGGUUAUGUGCACUAACAUCUUCGCGAUUCCUCUGCUUGCUGUUGGUGUCCGUCGCCAGAUGUUGUCCUUUCAAAAACCAUGAAUUUACCGUACAUAAAUUGCAGGCUUAAACAAACACAAAGGGGGGCCUACCAAUUUUAUAAACAUUAAGUUGGCUACAGUGUUUAAAUGCAACAGCGCUCUUAUUGGAGUCAGUAUUAAAUUCACCUGAGAGAAACCACGUUCACACUCCCUUGUUGAAAUUGGGAUGUUCUUGGUUGCGUUUAAAAGAGGCAUAAGAGAUGAUGGAAUCUUAUUUUCUGAAAAGUACAGUGGUAUCUCGGGUUACACACGCUUCAGGUUACAUACACUUCAAGUUACAGUCUCUGUUAACCCAGAAAUAGUGCUUCAGGUUAAGAACUUUGCUUCAGGAUGAGAAUAGAAAUUGUGCUCCGGCGGCACGGCAGCAGCAGGAGGCCCCAUUAGCUAAAGUGGUGCUUCAGGUUAAGAACGGUUUCAGGUUAAGAACGGACCUCCGGAACAAAUUAAGUACUUAAGCCAAGGUUCCACUGUACUCAGAAAAGUAGUUUUAGUUUCUUCUCCUGUUAGAUUCACAAAAUGUUUAGGGGUAUGAGUACCCCUGUGUACCCCCAGGAAAAAAGCACUGGUCUAAAAACCUCUGGUAUCAACUAGCAACAACACAGGUCUCCCCACCCUUACAAGCUGUUUUCUUCAGUGGAAAUGGGCUCCCCUCACCCAAGCUGCUAUUACCCAAAGGGGGAAUGUGGGAUUUUCAGUCAAAAUGGCAAAGGCAUGGUUGCCACACAAGCACAUGAGGGGCUGACACUCAUAGGGUUCCUGCAUCAAUAUAGAAGGGACUGUAUGAAGUCACUUCCUUAAGGCUUUGGAGGGAAUUUCUAACAAAGGAGAUAAUUCUAUCUCCUGAGCUCUGUCUCUUUUUCUUUCAAUUCAGUGAUGUGAGCAAACGUCCAUCCCUGGGCACUCCUCAGAUCCCAGACUCCAUUUUGGAAACCAAUUUUUUAUUUUGUAACUAAGAAGUAUUUUUACCUGCAUACUAGUUUGAUGUAUUUUCUGGCUGCACUGAAAUGUAAGCAAACUAUUAUUAUUAUUAUUAUUAUUAUUAUUAUUAUUAUUACUACUACUACUACUACUACAUGUCGUUCAAUCUUAGCUAUGUGGACAAAGAGGGGAAGGUUAGUAGACCACAACUAAAUGGGGAUAAAAAGGUGAAAUUGCCGAAUUCCUAGCUGCAAAAGUGUUCUUACUCAGCUAAAAGAGCUUCACAGCCUGUUUACUCUUAUACUUCUCUCACACACAUGGGAUAGGAGUUUUCAUUUUAAUUUGCAGGUUUAAUCCUCAACCCACCUCCAUCAAGGAAAACAUAUAGACAUUUUGUGGAUCUGCAUUAGGGAGCAAGCAUUAAAUCCCACCAAUCCAAAUCUCUGGUGGGGAGAUUGGGGACGCGGGUGGCGCUGUGGGUAAAACCUCAGUGCCUAGGACUUGCCGAUCGCAUGGUCGGCAGUUCGAAUCCCCGCGGCGGGGUGAGCUCCCGUCUUUCGGUCCCAGCUCCUGCCCACCUAGCAGUUCGAAAGCACCCUUAAGUGCAAGUAGAUAAAUAGGUACCGCUUUAUAGCGGGAAGGUAAACAGCGUUUCCGUGUGCUGCGCUGGUGCUGGCUCGCCAGAGCAGCUUCGUCACGCUGGCCACGUGAACCGGAAGUGUCUCCGGACAGCGCUGGCCCCCGGCCUCUUAAGUGAGAUGGGCGCACAACCCUAGAGUCGGACACAAGUGGCCCGUACGGGCAGGGGUACCUUUACCUUUACCUUUACCUUUACCUUUACCUUUAUUAAAUCCCACCUAUCCAAAUCUCUAGUCUCCAUGGUGACUUUUUGGGUAAGACAUCAGAUGGUCUAGUCAUGUGUAGUUUGACCCUUGGCCACAGAUAUUUCUUGAUAGAUUGUGCCAUUACUGUUCAAGUUGGGGAAACUUAAGUUGGUGCAGCAACAAGAAAUGUUUGAGACGAUGAGCCUUGCGAUGGAAAAAAUGACAGGGGUGGUAAUUGGUAAUAGAAAACUCAUCACAGUUAAAAUUCAUGAUUAGAGACUGUCAAGAAACAAGAACAAAGGCCUAUAAUUAUCAGGCAAAGGCCCCAGGCACCACCCAGGUGUUAGGAAGGUAUGUCAGCUGGGCAUGCAAAGGCUAUUCUUCUAUGGAAAAUUCUUCCCAGGUUGAAAGCUGGAAAGCAAGUCCAUUAUACUCUGAGCUUCCCAAAGUGAACAUGCUUGUUAAUAUAAUUUGCCUUCUUAGGGUGUCUUAACAAAGCUUAAAUCAGAUUUGUGUUAAAUUUGCUCUGAACACUAAUAAACAUUGGGUGCUGUGUUUAUUCCAUUUCUCUUUUGAAAUUUGUCCUGCAUUUAAAGCAUUCAUGCAUGCCACGCGCAAAAAAACAAGGGAAGAUCAAAUGCACUUUUUAGUGAACACGCCCUAAAGCUCCAGCUCAAACAGUGCAAUGUUUUUAGAAAAUACACACACACAUACAAACCCCUCAGAGUUUUAUAUACGGAAUCUGACAGUGUUGUUCACAGGAUCCAUUUAGAAGUCUUACUGAUGAUUGUAUGUGCCAGUUGCAAGAAUUCAGGUUACCAACCAUUCAGUUUCAAGCAACAAAGAUCUAUUUUAUGCCAUGGGUGCAUCAAUUAUUAUUAUUAUUAUUAUUAUUAUUAUCAUCAUCAUCAUCAUCACUACUACUACUAUUUUAUUUAUACCCCGUCCAUCUAGGCUAGGUUGCUACUAUUGAGUGAAAUACAGUAUAUGGCUAUAGAACAUUUGAUUCCACACUUGUCAUUUUCUCUGGAAUUAGAAUGCUUUGUUAAUUUUUUAGAGAGAAUCCAAAUGUGUAUACAGUACAAGUGUGUGUGUAUGUGUGUGUAGCAUCCCACUGAUUUCUAUGCUGUCCUGUGUUUGUGGAAUCAUAGAAUUCCACCCCAAUGGUCAUCUAGUCCAACCCCCUGCAAUGCAGGAAUCUCAGCAAUAAGUAUACACAGGGUGCCUCUCCUGGCACUCAAAAUGGCGGAGUUUGACACCUGAGGUGAACCACAAAAUGGAGCCACUGCCACCCCCACAUAUCCCAUGCCAGUAAAGAAGGGGUGGGUGAAGAUCUAAAUAAUAAUAAUAAUAAUAAUAAUAAUAAUAAUAAAUUUUUAUUUAUACCCCACCCUUCCCGGUUCAGAAAACCAGGCUCAGGGCGGCUAACAACAAAUUUAAAACACUUAAUUGAUACAACAAAAAAACAGCAUAAAAUACGGUAUAAAACGUGAAUAACAAUAAAUUCAGAAUUCAAAAAUCAAUUCAGGAGGAAAAUCCAUCCAAUAAACAUUACAUGAUCACCAGGGCUAGCAGGCUAAAUUAGUCCUAUUUGAGCCAGCAAGGAGACCAGGGGAGAAUUAGCUGUGGGAUCCCAGAGCGGGCAAUCUUCAUAAAAAGGGGAGGGGGAGGGAAGGAAGGGAAAUAAAAGAUCAAGCUAAGUUCAAGUUGAAAGCCAGGCGGAAUAGCUCUGUCUUACAGGCUCUGUGGAAGGAAGUUAAAUCCUGCAGGGCCCUGGUCUCAUGGGACAGAGCAUUCCACCAGGUUGGAGCCAUCACUAAGAAGGCCCUGGCCCUGGUGGAGGAUAAUCUGACUUCUUUAGGGCCCAGGACCUCUAAACUAUGAUUAUUCAUGGACCUUAAGGUCCUUUGCGGGGCAUACCAGGAGAGGCGGUCAGGCACAAGGGGGGGGGACUAAAGAUCUACACGAGGAGCAAGGGUGAGAGACCCCAGCAGCGCCUCCUAUUCACCCAGAGGCCGCUGUAGAGACAGGAUGGAGGGGGCGCUGCGGAAGAGGCAACAGAUCCAGCCUGCCAUAAGUGUGCUGCAGCCGUUGCUAUAACUGUCCUGGUUAUAGAUAUUUAACAGCCCAGUCUGAAUCAGAAAUGAAUAUGUGCAAAUACAGUGGUACCUUGGUUCUCAAACUUAAUCCGUCCCGGAAGUCCGUUCCAAAACCAAAGUUUUCCAAAACCAAGGCGCACUUUCCCAUAGAAAGUAAUGCAAAAUGGAUUAAUCCACUCCAGAUUUUUAAAAACAACCCCUAAAACAGCAAUUUAACAUGAAUUUUACUAUCUAAUGAGACCAUUGAUCCAUAAAAUGAAAGCAAUAAACAAUGUACUGCAGUCACACUGUGGGAAUGUUUAUAUAGUUUAGCAGAGUUUAAACGAUCCCCUGUUUGAGUUUAUGCAGUGACAAGCAGGUUGCUAACUCAUUUGACUCCUAUCAAUAAUUAUACCUUCCUGGUUGAUAAUCCCUUUCUGUCCCUCUUAAAGAAAACACACAUGAAACUGAUAUUAACAUAAACUACUUUACUUUCUGAUUCAUUCAGGUUUACAGAGUUGUUCCUGAAGGCAGACUUAGGUUACAUAACAGAUAAACUAUAUACAGUGGUACCUCGGGUUAAGUACUUAAUUCGUUCCGGAGGUCCAUUCUUAACCUGAAACUGUUCUUAACCUGAAGCACCACUUUAGCUAAUGGGGCCUCCUGCUGCUGCCGCACUGCCGGAGUACGAUUUCUGUUCUCAUCCUGAAGCAAAGUUCUUAACCCAAGGUACUACUUCUGGGUUAGCGGAGUCGGUAACCUGAAGCGUAUGUAACCCGAGGUACCACUGUACUAGAUAGUAGUGAGUCAUGAGAAGACUGCAUCUGAGCAGUUACCAGUUAACACUCCUAGCAGGAACCGACCAACCAACUAACAUAGAGGCAGUUAGUCCUCUCUUGGAAUGUUGGACUUGACUGACAACUUUAUAUCCCACACACGCAAUUAAUCAAUCUCUAGCUGAACUGGGUUCCACACAGUCACAAAAACAAAACAAAAAGCCGCAAAAACAAAAACGCAAAAUAAAUAGGAAAAACAGACAGACCUCAGCAUGGCACUCAAAAUGGAAGCAUAACACUCAGUUCGGAAGCAUAUCAAGGAACUUCUGAAAAAAGUUCGCAAACCGGAACACUUCCGGGUUUGCAGCAGUCGGGUUCCAAGUUGUUCGACUACUAAGCCAUUCGAGAACCAAGGUACCACUGUAUUUUAAAUAUACCAAAAUUCCAAUUUUCACUUUUAAAAAAUCCCUCACAAAUUGAGUACUUUAGUCCUGUAGGCAUCCCUUGGAUGCCUCCUGAGCUGUCAAAUACUUCAGAGCCAUUGCAUGUCAUUUGUCUAAAGCUCCCACACUCAAGUCACCUGUAAGAUUACUGUCGAAUACUCAACACCAUUCCAUCCCGAUUAUCAAAAUCCGACCAAUGCCAAAUAGUAGCACAUGUCAACUAUCAAAUAGAGUCUGAUUAAAAAAAGCCACUGCACGUUAGCCAUCAACUAAAUCAAGAGAUAUUUCCAACUUCUAAUUGCUAUUUCAUGCCAACUAUUGCACUCUGUCAAAUAUUAGCUGUUGAGCAUCAAAUAUUUUAGUUUAAAUAACACUGACUCACGUGCAGAUAAUCUAAACAUUCGGCAAGUGCUCAGAGAAUAUCUGAAGAAUACACACCAUCAAGAUUUUCAGAGGGGAAAAGUGGGGAGCAAGUUGUUUUAUCUGUUGCUUAGUUGGAAGGCCUGGCCGGUCCCCCAAGUGCUGGUUCUGAGGUUUGUUCUUGUUCUUCGACUCUUUCUGAACGAGUCCUCUCUCCAUCUUAAAUUUCCUUGGGGGUCAUAAAACAAAUUUUAUCUGCUCCAUCGGGCAACACUACUCAACAUCCCACAGCAAUGUUGUGCAGCUAAGUACAUGUCAAGAACAUCCUGUUAACCCUUUGGGGUGUAAUGAAUAAUGUGCAAGAAGAUCGAUGCCUUCAUUUUGAGAAGGGCAAAUGAAUGUAAAGAGAGCUUAGGUAGCUCUCAAGACACCAUCAUAUCAAGCAGGGUUAUCCUGGUAGAGAGUCAGAAAGGAUGGUGGGAAAUCAGAUGCUAAAUGACAACUCUGUAUUCUCAGAACGUCUGGGUGGCUCUAAGUUAUGGGGACAAAAUUCAUGUUUCCCACCGAAUGCCUGUUACGCCUAAAGAAAUGUAUAAUGUUUGCUCUGUGUGUGAGAGUUAGAGAACCAGCCCUGAUAUGCAAGAAGGUGAAGUGGCUUGCUUCCAGAGUAGGACGGGGUGAAUCUACGUGUAAUUAUGCUCCCUUCCAUAUCCACCAGGACACAUGUCUUCCAGGACAUGCUCCUAGGUGAGUCAUAUUCUUCUUCUUCUUUGGAGAUCACUCGUAGCCGAGUAAGAUUGUCUUCCAUAAACAUGGUUUUAACAAUGAGUCCGUAGGUGACUGUGGAGGCCAAUUCUGGAUCCACACGUCCUUCCACAGUGGGGACAUUGGUUUCUGGAGAGGAGUUGAUCACAGUGUGGAUUUGCCAAGCGUGCCUUCCUCUUAGCACAUUUCUCCCUUGUGUCCUGAGUUUGAGUGUCUUCAAAGCCCAUGACACCUUUGGUAAAGGCUGUUCUCCAACAGGAGCACUCGCAGGCCAAUGUUUCCCAGUUGGCAGUGUUUAUACUACAUUUUUUUAGAUUUGCCUUGAGACAGUCUUUGAACCUCUUUUGUUGACCACCGGCAUUACGCUUCCCAUUUUUAAGUUCGGAAUAGAAUAGUUGCUUUGGAAGACGAUCAUCAGGCAUCCGCACAACAUGACCAGUCCAACGAAGCUGAUGUUGAAGAAUCAUUGUUUCAACACUGGUGUUGUAACCAUAAUCAAACUGGUGAUGUAACCCAUGCCUUGCUCUCACCCUGUAAAAAGGGCUUUUUUCAGGGCAAGAGCACCCCAUGAGAGAGCGCAAGAUCGCAGCACCCAAAAUGGCCACCAAGAUCUUGCACAAAUUAAAAGGAUGUCCUGUUUUUCCCAGGGCGUUUGGAAGGUAUGAUUUGCAUUUUAAAAAAAAAAAUGAACUCAAAAUAGUAUCUCAGGGCAGGUCACAGUCAAACCAAAAAAAUAUGAAAACAAACAGUAGAAAUAAAUCACUGAUGGAACUACAAAAAAGGCCUCCACAACAGGUACAUGCCUUUGAAUCAGAAAACUCUGGACUCAAGAGUCAUCCCUGAUCCCAUUACUUAAGAGAUUUAACUUCUAGAAUCCCAGGAGAGAGAGCUGAAAUAUGGAGAAGUCCAGCUCAUGCAUGCUUUAAAAAGGGGGGGGGCUUUUAAAACAUCUCACCAGAAAGCAUUGAGACUGUGUUUUACUGAGGAUAGGAACAUGAAAACAGGGACACUCGUCUGAAUAUGAGGACAGUCUCUGUGCAUAUGUUCCCUCAUGACUGUCAGAGUUGGACCAUGGGGAAGAGUUUGAGAUAAAGAUCUAUUUAUCUACAUAUCCAAAUUAUUUGAUUAAGAACCUCCUUUUGGUUUGGUUUGGGGGGUUUUCACAAAUGGCAUCAUUUCAGGAAAAAAUAGAGGUGGGAAUGUUAAGAUUCCCCCCUCAAAAAAAAAUAAUCAGUAUGAUUUGUAUUAAUUGCAUGUAAUAUGACCUGCUUCUAUUACCUACUUCUCUACAAAGCAAAUAGAUACUUCUUAAGUGACUUGUAUUGCACAACAGAACCCAAGAGACCGGGAGCAUUUCAGGGUGACUUUUCCAUUUUUCUCCCCUAAAUUGAUUUUUCUUUUUAACAGUCUAUAAAUUCAAUUAUUUUCAUUGUUGGCAACUUGGCUACACAAUCAGCCAUAUCUGCAAUCGAUUAAGUCAAAGUUUUUUGAAUGGAACCCACUGAAAGCAAAUGAAGAAGUUCUUCAUUCCUAUUGAAAUCAAUGGAUGCUAAGCACACAAACUCUAAAACAAAAUCUAGCCUCCUGUUGGUGCUUGUAGAAAGCAAAGUGAGGAAAGAUGUCUCUUUCUCAUGUGUUGCUCUUAGUGAGACCAUGCAGAAGGUCCAUUCUGAAGUUUCUUUGAGGGCCCUACAAGGAGAGCAUAUCCAAGGGGUGUUCCAAAUAAAUGUUCAGAAUAAAUAUAUAUAAUAAAAAUGAUGUAGCAUUUCUAUAGCACUUUAGAAUCAGGACUGGACACUGAGGUCCAGCUCCAAGGGCCUUCUGGUGGUUCCCUCACUGCGAGAAGUGAGGUUACAGAGAACCAUGCAGAGGGCCUUCUUGGUGGUGGCACCCGCCCUGUGAAAUGCCCUCCCAUCAGAUGUCAAGGAAAUAAACAACUAUCUGACUUUUAGAAGACAUCUAAAGGCAACCCUGUUUAGGGAAGUUUUUAAUGUCUGAUGUUUUAUCAUGUUUUUAAUAUUCUAUUGGAAGUUGCCCAGAGUGGCUGGGGAAACCCAGCCAGAUGGGCGGGGUAUAAAUUAUUAUUAUUAUUAUGAAACAAGUGCAGAAUUUCAGGGUGGUGGCAAAUUCACCCCAAAGGACUACAGAUAUAUUUGACAAGAGUCACGUGUGAAUUUUUAAUAGGAGUGCAUUUAGGAGGAUUUCUUUCAUGAUUUUAACUCUUAUUAACCAGAAAUCUAAGCUGCGCCAACAUACGUGGUCUGGAAAAUUCUUUAAAAUGCACAUCUGGGGCUGGAAAGCUGGGAAUUCCUCCACUUAAUCCUUUGACAUCUCCAUCCAGAGUUGCCAAGACAUACUAGCCCAAAUAUUCUUCCUCAUGGCCAUUGGCCAGAACCUAGAGGAGUCCAGAUAGACUUCCUUCCUGGGAUCUCCCCCUUUGGGUGCCAUGUCUGCCAUGCUAGUCAGGAUAUGACCAUGAAUCAACACCUGUACUGUAUGUUUGAGUUAAAGGCUGGAUCUGCUCUCCGCAACCUGGUGACGUCCAGAUGUUUUGAUCCGCAGCUCUCACCAGCCCCAAUGGUCAUGUUGAGCAUCAUAUGCGAACAAAUACUUGACUGGUGCUUCGCUCAAUUAAUUGCCAUUUUAUGACGGUGCCGUGCCCACCCAAAUCCUUUACAAAAAGGAAGUCGGCAGUUUGGGCACAGACAGUUGCCAGGUGUCUUUCUUACAAAGGUGUCACUAUUUUACUUCCCAUCUGUGAUUGCUUCAACAUUUACAAAAGGUCAUUCUCUAUCAGAGUGACAGUUACAUUUUACAAAAUGAGGAGAAAUUUCUGUGCGGCAAAAAAAAGUAAUUUGGAUUGGGGGUGAAAUACAUUUCUUCAGCGAGAGUGAAAAUAUUCUGUCCUUAUUCAAGACAGAGGGAAAUGAAGCCAUUUUAUGGGACCGGCUGUCGACAGCUCAGAAUUUUUAUGCUGCUUUCUAAAUGCUAUAGGAGGUUUCUUGGUCUUCCAGGAAACCACUUAUUUACACGGGUGUUUUAUACGGAGAAGGAUAUUAUUUCUCAUAAGACCAUUCAGAAGAGACCUCAGGAACUGAAUGAUAUAUAUUUCAAAUUUACUUCCUGCGUAGAAUCAUUUUACAUCAAGGAGUAGCCAUUUUAUUUUUAUUUAACAAAAUUUAUAUACCGCUUGGUUGUAAUAAAACCUCCAAGUGGUUUACAAUAAAUAUUUAAAUGAUUGACAAAGAACAGUUUAAUACAAGCAAUUAAAACAUUUAGAAAAUAAUAAGAUUUAACAAGAGACUAAACCACAGAGCCUAGGGCUUGCUGAUCAGAAGGUUGACGGUUCAAAUCCCCGUGACGGGGUGAGCUCCCGUUGCUCAGUCCCUGCUCCUGCCAACCUAGCAGUUCGAAAGCACACCAGCACAAGUAGAUAAAUAGAUACCGCUCCUGUGGGAAGGUAAACGCCGUUUCCUUGUGCUGCUCUGGUUCGCCAGAAGCGACUUAGUCAUGCUGGCCACAUGACCUGGAAGCUGUACGCCGGCUCCCUCGGCCAAUAAAGUGAGAUGAGUCGGCCACGACUGGACCUAAUGGUCAGGGGUCCCUUUACCUUUACCUAACAAGAGACUAAAACACAUCAACAUCUAUGUGCCUGGAUAGGCUUGCCUAAACAAAAAUGUUUUAAGCAGUGUCAGGGAACUGCCAUCGGACGGAAGGGAGGUGAAAGGGCUCACACAGGUUGGGAGAGACGCAGCAGCUGAAGAGGGAACCAGCAGGGAGGUGAAAGGGCUCACACAGGUUGGGAGAGACGCAGCAGCUGAAGAGGGAACCAGCAGGGAGGUGAAAGGGCUCACACAGGUUGGGAGAGACGCAGCAGCUGAAGAGGGAACCAGCAGGGGGAGAGGAGCUGAGCUGGAGGGAUGGCUCAGAGACACUUCCAGCGAAAACAGUGGGGAGGUUUCAGGACCUCCUGUAAGAACACCCACUCCUCGCCGGAAACUGUCACGCAGAGAGUCCAGAAGACGUGUUUCCGUUAAGGAGCUUUUAUGUUGGAAGCGAUUACGAAAGCAACCACUGUCGGAAUCUGCUAGUGACUAGAGGAGCCAUGUCUGAGGGGCUCCGUCACAGACAGAGGUUUGUGGACUUGAACAAACUCUGAGGGGAUACGAUUUUACGCACAAGCAGCUCAUCAUCUCAUCACAGCAUUCCGACAGUCUUUGAAAGCAGCUUGUGCAGGAGAAGGCAUCAUGAGCAACCCAGCCGGAACCGGAGAAGCAGGAGCUGGAGUGGGUCCAAGCCUGGAAGAAAGGUACCGGGUGUUGGAGGUCCAGCUAGCGAUGCAGACGGCGAGGCUUGAGGAGAGGAGGGCUCAGGAUGCAGACAAAGGGGAAAGCCACCCAGCUCGCCAGAAAGGUACCAGGAUUGGUGCAGAAGUUUGGGGGGGAGCCCAAAAACUAUCAUGGCUUUCGGACAGAAAUGCAAUAUGCCCUCAAUCUGCAGUUUGAUGAAUUCCCUGACGAGGAAUCACGAGUGGCUUUCGUGAUUGAGCAUCUUGAAAAAGGGGCGAGAGACUGGGUUAGACCCCUGAUGGCAGCGAAUAGUGACGUCCUAAAGGACACGAUGAAGUUCUUUCGCGCCAUGGAUCUGAUGUUUUCCAGCGAUAUUGAAAAGGGAGUGGUGCGCAGACAGUUAAUGGCUUGCAAACAGGGGAGCCGAUCUGUCCGUGAGUACUGGACUGAGUUCACCAUGCUUGUUCACAGAUUGGGGUGGGACUUAUCGGCGGAACCCAUUCAAAUGCUCUUUGAAGAAGGGCUUUCUUCGGCUGUGAAAGACGAACUUUCCCGGGCGCCCAGGGUGGAGUCUAUGGACCAGCUGACCAAAUCAGCGCUGGCCAUAGGAGCGCGCCAGGAGGCGAGAGCAUUGGAGAGGCGGGCAGGGAAGGGGAACGUUGGAAGGAGUUCCGCAUUCCAGACAUUCCAGAGCCAACUUUCCCACCGGCAGAGCCGAUGGAAAUCGGAACAGCGCGCGCGCGCAGUUUCAAAGCCCAGUGAGGGGAAAAAGGAGGGAAAAGGCGCCCGGAAAUGCUAUCUCUGCCAACAGCCAGGUCACUUUGCCAGAGUCUGCCCCCAGAGGAAAGAAUGGCAAGGGAUGGUAGGAGCUGUGGAUGGAAGAGAGGAAGAUAUACCGGAGCAAGUAAAAGCCAACGCCUGGCUGCCACUGUCGGGGCACAGCAGCCAGGCCAAAGAGCAGUGAGAGUGCCCACGCCAGAACCUCCUAAACCCGCCCUAGUGAUAGAAGUGACGCUAGAGCUGCCAAACGGACACCCUCUAAAGAUAAAGGCGCUGUUGGACUCAGGCAGCUCCUGCAAUUUCAUGAGCAAAGAGUUUGCAGCUGAACACCAGAUACAGACGAUCCCUUUAAGCAGCCCCUGCAGGUGACCACGAUCGAUGGCAGGGAGCUGUUGGGAGGAGAAGUCAGCUUGCAGACCGUCCCAAUGAUAAUGAAGGUAGCAAGGCACACCGAACUGAUAGCUUUUAAUGUGGCCACCUUGGGAGGAGCUCCCAUUAUAUUGGGGAUGAGCUGGCUAGCGUUACAUGAUCCGCUGGUGGGCUGGCAUCAGAGAGUGGUUUCUUUUGGUUCAGCACAUUGCUUAGAACACUGCAAAGAGGGAAAGGGUUUGGCAGGGGUCCAAGCCACCCUAGCAGGGACUGAAGUAACAGAGAACGUGAAGGUACCACGACAAUAUGCAGAUCUCCGUGACGUCUUCAGCGAAAGGGAAGCUGACCAACUACCCCGCAUAGACCCUUUGACUGUCAAAUCAAUUUACUCCCUGGAGCACAGCUCCCUGUAGGCAAGCUGUACGCCAUGUCAGACAGAGAGAUGCAGGAGUUAAGAGAGUUCAUUGACAAGAACCUGAAGAGAGGGUUCAUCAGAGAGUCCAGGGCGGUGUGGGGCAGCCCAGUGUUUUUGUGGAUAAGAAAAACACGAACAAGCCGAGGCUGGUGUGUGACUUCAGGGCCUUAAAUGCAGUGUCAGAACCAGUAGCCUUCCCUAUGCCCAGGAUUGACGACAUUUUGACAAGGGUGCGGAAGGGAAAGAUUUUCACAAAGCUGGACCUAAGGGGGGCGUACAACCUGGUACGAAUAAGGAAGGGGGAUGAAUGGAAAACCACUAUGUUCACCCCUUUAGGGGCAUUUGAAUAUUUGGUUAUGCCCUUCGGCCUACAAGCAGGCUCCGCAACAUUUCAAUCGUUUAUGAACCACGUCCUGGGGCCUUUGCUUUACAAGAAUUGUGUGGCCUUUUUAGACGACGUGUUGGUGUAUUCUGAGAAUGAGGAGCAGCAUGUGAGAGACGUCAGAGAAGUGUUGAGCAGGCUGCAAGCCAACCAGCUGUGGGUGAAACUGGAGAAGUGUCAGUUUCAUACCAAGGAGGUGGAAUUCCUGGGGUAUCGCCUGUCUGACAAGGGAUUGGCCAUGGAUCCCGGCAAGGUCCAGGCGGUGCUGGAAUGGAAAACACCCAAAACAAAGAAGGAUGUGCAGAGGUUCCUAGGAUUUGGGAACUUCUAUCGUAAGUUCAUCCGAAACUUUGCCCACCUGACGGCGCCCAUUACGGACUGUCUCAGCAGUAAGAAGAAGUUCGUGUGGACUGAGGAGGCGGAGCGAGCAUUUGAGGAACUAAAAGGGCCUUCGCCUCGGAACAACAACUCCUGCAUGUGGAUUUACAAAAACCGAUGAGAGUGGAAACUGACGCAUCAGACAGAGCGAUUGGGGCGGUGCUUCUGCAGCCAGGGAAGAAGGGGUCAGAGUGGAGACCGUGUGCCUUUUUUCGCGAAAGCUGAACAAAUCCGAGAGGAACUACACGGUGUAUGACCGAGAACUACUAGCCAUUCAUGAGGCGUUCCGGAGAUGGAGGCACCUGCUAAUUGGCGCACAACAUAAGGUGCAAGUGUGCACUGACCACAAGAACUUAGAGUAUUGGAGGACGGCACGAGUGCUCAACCAACGGCAAGUGAGAUGGGCCCAGGAGUUCUCCAAAUUUAACUUUGAGAUUAAUUACGUGCCAGGCCCAGAGAACAUUAGGGCGGACGCUCUCUCACGCAAACCAGAAUAUUUGGAGGGAGGGGCACCCGAAGAGAGACAUGUCAUUCCAGAGGACCGCUGGGUGUGUGGGGCGGCAUUGGUGGGACAAAGAGAACUGGUAGAGGAAACAGAGAAUGAUGAAUACGCCCAGAAUAAGCUCAGAGGUCUUAGGGGUGAGGGAGAGGAACCAGGGGUUUCGAGGAAAGAAAUGGAGCUUUGUAUUACAAAGGGGCACUGUAUAUCCCUGAAGGAGAGUUAAGGGGAGGGUACUCAAGCAGUUGCACGACAGCCCUACGGCGGGGCAUUUUGGACAACACAAAACCAUGUGGUUGGUCACCAGGGAAUUUUGGUGGCCUAAGGUGAGGAAGAUGUACGUGAGUAUGUAAGAGGGUGCGAGCAAUGCCAGCGAGCCAAAGGGGAAAGGCGGGCGCCGGCGGGGCUGUUAGAACCCUUACCAACCCCAGAACGACCUUGGGAGGCAGUGUCGAUAGAUUUUAUGACUGAUCUGCCGAAGUCCAAAGGGAAAACAGCCAUCAUGGUGGUGGUAGACCUACUAACAAAGAUGUGCCACUUUGUAGCUUGCUCGCAUGCAGUCACGGCGGAAGAGACAGCGAAGUUAUUUGUAGAACACAUUUUUAGGUUGCACGGGGUGCCAUUGAGGGUGGUCUCAGACCGAGGAAAACAAUUUACUUCCAGGUUCUGGAGGAAGCUCAUGAGCUUACUGCAGGUGGAGGUCAAUUUUUCGACUGCCCGGCACCCUGAAACCAACGGGCAGGCGGAAAGAGCAAACGGUGUCCUCCAGCAAUACCUGAGGUGUUAUGUCAAUGACAGAGAGAAUGACUGGGUAGAAAAGUUGGCGCUGGCGGAAUUUGCCUACAACAAUGCCGAGAAUGUGUCCACAGGGAUGAGCCCCUUCUUGGCUAAUUAUGGGUGUCAUCCCAGGGCUUUCCCAGGGGCAGAUGGGGAGAGAUGGAGCGUCCCGGCAGCCGAGCAUUUUGUGGAAGAAAUGGAAGCAAUCCAUCGUCAGCUCCAACUCAACUUAGAAAGGGCGAAGGAAGAAUACAAGAGGCAGGCAGACAAGAACCGAAGGGAAGGUGAAACCAUAAGGGUGGGAGAUAGGGUGUGGCUGUCAACCCAAGGGUUGCCGUUCAAAGGAGGUUGUAAGAAAUUAAGACCCAGGAGGUUGGGUCCCUUUGAGGUCAUUCAACAGGUCAACCCAGUGGCUUUCAGGCUCCGGUUACCCAACCACAUGAAACUGCACCCAGUAUUUCACAGGUCGUUACUGUCACCGUACGAAAGGGGACGAGAAGGGCUGGCCACUCGGGGACCGGUCAUAGAAGAAAGAGAAUGCAGCAGCCAUGUGGCAGAAAUCCUCGACGCCAGGUGGAAGGGGGAUCAGGUGGAGUAUUUGGUAGCGUGGGAAGGAGAACCGGAGUCAGAAAACACUUGGGUAAUGGCCGAAGAUAUCAAUGACGAGGUAUUGAUAGAAACGUUCCAUCAAAGGUUCCCAAGGAAACCUCAGCCUGUGGAGAGGUUCCGGAGGGAAUACUUUGGGACCACUGAUGAGGGGAGGAGUUGGAAGGAUUCCCGGACUCGGAAGGGGAAGGGGAGAUGGACUCUGAGGAGGAGGUGUACUUCGAGACCAGGAACCGCAACAGGUUGAGAGAAGUGUUCGAGACAUCGGAAGAUGAAGGAAGUUCAUUCCGGGGUUUUGCCUCCUCACCGCCCGUAGAGGAGGGGGCGAGAGGGGGUGAAGGGGGCCCUGGAGGGGAGGUGGAUGUCAGGGAACUGCCAUCGGACGGAAGGGAGGUGAAAGGGCUCACACAGGUUGGGAGAGACGCAGCAGCUGAAGAGGGAACCAGCAGGGAGGUGAAAGGGCUCACACAGGUUGGGAGAGACGCAGCAGCUGAAGAGGGAACCAGCAGGGAGGUGAAAGGGCUCACACAGGUUGGGAGAGACGCAGCAGCUGAAGAGGGAACCAGCAGGGGAGAGGAGCUGAGCUGGAGGGAUGGCUCAGAGACACUUCCAGCGAAAACAGUGGGGAGGUUUCAGGACCUCCUGUAAGAACACCCACUCCUCGCCGGAAACUGUCACGCAGAGAGUCCAGAAGACGUGUUUCCGUUAAGGAGCUUUUAUGUUGGAAGCGAUUACGAAAGCAACCACUGUCGGAAUCUGCUAGUGACUAGAGGAGCCAUGUCUGAUGGUCUCCGUCACAGACAGAGGUUUGUGGACUUGAACAAACUCUGAGGGGAUACGAUUUUACGCACAAGCAGCUCAUCAUCUCAUCACANNNNNNNNNNNNNNNNNNNNNNNNNNNNNNNNNNNNNNNNNNNNNNNNNNNNNNNNNNNNNNNNNNNNNNNNNNNNNNNNNNNNNNNNNNNNNNNNNNNNUAAGACCACCCACUCCUCGCCGGAAACUGUCACGCAGAGAGUCCAGAAGACGUGUUUCCGUUAAGGAGCUUUUAUGUUGGAAGCGAUUACGAAAGCAACCACUGUCGGAAUCUGCUAGUGACUAGAGGAGCCAUGUCUGAGGGGCUCCGUCACAGACAGAGGUUUGUGGACUUGAACAAACUCUGAGGGAUACGAUUUUACGCACAAGCAGCUCAUCAUCUCAUCACAAGCAGGUACAGAACAGAAUGCAAUGAAGGUGACUGCCUGAUUUCAAUAUGCAGGAAGUUCCAAAGAUCAAUUUCUUACAACUGCAGAAUAAUGAGUAUUAUGUGGCACUUGAAAAAGUGCCAGUUCCACAGUUCGAAGCAGUUGAAUUGGCAGAUGUGGAGUAAGCAAUUGCAGAAGCAGACAGCUCCUAAGCUGAUCAGGGCUUUAUAUCCUAAUAGUAACAGCUUGAACCAGACAUGGUAGCCAAUAGACAAGCAGUGCAGAUCUCUGAGGAGGGGUGCGUUUUGCAGACAGGGUCUCACUCCUGUCAGCAGCCAAGCUGCAGCAUUCUUUACUAAUUCCAGCUUUCAGAUCAAGCAGUCAACGGUGAUCAACAGUAUCAAAAGCCACAGAGAGGAUCAAGAAUCUCUGCCCAUAAUGGAAAGUACCAUAUUUUUUGCUCUAUAAGACUCACUUUUUCCCUCCUAAAAAGUAAGGGGAAGUGUGUGUGCGUCUUAUGGAGCGAAUGCAGGCUGCGCAGCUAUCCCAGAAGCCAGAACAGCAAGAGGGAUCGCUGCUUUCGCUGCACAGCAAUCCCUCUUGUUGUUCUGGCUUCUGAGAUCCAGAAUAUUUUUUUUCUUGUUUUCCUCCUCCAAAAACUAGGUGCGUCUUAUGGUCUGGUGCGUCUUAUAGAGCGAAAAAUACGGUACCCUCGUCUUAAAUCUAUUUCUGUUCAUGUCACUUUCGCUUCAUUUAUUUAUUAAAUUUAUAUCCCGCCAAAGGAGUGCAGGGAGGCAAACAAGAAGUGAUAAAACAAUAAAAAACAUCUUCAACACGCACACAUUGAUUCGUCAAUGCAUCCCUCCCACUUCUACGUUCAUCUGUGACUUUAAAAGAAAGGUCGUACAGAAAUAUGUAUUUUUUUCUCCGAUCAAAAUACGCAUUUGUAAGUGCAGCUUUGUGUCGUUUGGAACAGAGAAUUGCAUCACAAAAUUCAGAGACGUGAGCAAUUUGAGGGGUAUCUACAUUCCAAUCCACACAUUAACCCCAGAGGUGCAGAUCAGGUUAGGUCACGUCAGAAUUCACAAAUAAUCACUUCCUUGAGCACCCGCUGCUCUAGGGCACAUCCUGAAAGUAUACCCUAGGGCAGGUAUCUUCAACCUUUCCAGACCCAGGACCCCCUUUCAACCCAAACAUGCUUUGGGGGAUGUAUUUCUUAAUCUUUUACCAUAUAUUUGCAGAGUGGUGUCGGGAUCCGUGCUGAGGAGGGCGGCACUGAGGAAGAAUUGUGGGAGCCACCCCCUCCCCCUGAUCCUCAUCCUGAAUCUUCCCAGGACAUCAUAGAUUUGGUGGGGAACAGCUAGCAGAAGAAACCCUAGAAGAGAGACAGUUAACAGAUUCGCAGGCACUGGAUAGCAUCCACCCCCCUUCUCCAAAGUCACGGAGAGCUCAGAAAGUCUCAGAACAGAAAGCACAGAGGGUACAAGCUCAGAUUACAAGACAUAGGAGUGGCGCAGAUUAAUAGGGACGGAGGGGGGAGUAUCCCUUAAUUGGGAGCACCGCCAUUUCUAAGAGAUGUGUUCUUUGCUCUCUCGCUAUGAUUAUAAAAGGUUCUAACUGGUAAGGCAUUCCUUUUGUUUGAUCUCUUAUCUACUGCCACAGGGGGAGGGAGCCUGCCAGGUGGUCGUGCUCCUGUUGCAACCCACCUUGGAUCUGGCUGCAGCCCACAGAUGGGUCCCAACCCACCAGUUGGAGGACAGUGCCCUAGGGUAGCUGUGGAUCUUCAGGGGUCCUUGGAUUCCAACUCCCAUCCAUCCCACCCAGCAUGGCCAACUGAUCAGAGCUUAUAUAAAUUGUAGCCUGGCAAUAUCUGGAGAGCCACAGAUGCCUCUUCCCACUGCUGCCCUAAAAGAUGCCCACUCUCCUAGAUCUGUUCAUUACCAGAGGAUACCAUCUGCAUUGGGAUACCUUUCUUUCAAGGGCUUGUCUACCGCUGCUGAUCUACUCACUGAGGAACUCCCUCAAGCGUCCAAUGAAUCUCCCCCCCCCCAUCUUCUUCACAUUUCAAAGGCCACGGAUCUGUAUACCUACACAUGGUCCAGCAAACACUGAUCUAUAUUAACACCACAGCUUAGCUUUGAAAACAAAAGCAGCACAGAUAACAAAAAUACAGCCUUUGAAAUAUUUUCUUUUUCUUCCCUAAAUGUUGACAUUUCAAGGAAGCUGAGCACCUCCUCUGCAAAACUGAAAUUCUCGAAGUGAGAGAAUUUCCCGAAGACUGAAGAAGGAGGCUUUUCCAUGACAGAUGGGUCUGGUGAGUUCUUUG